Molecule: non-coding RNA, 53633 nt
Organism: Podarcis lilfordi (Lilford's wall lizard)
Lineage: Eukaryota; Metazoa; Chordata; Lepidosauria; Squamata; Lacertidae
Source: the annotation of a GenBank genome assembly
ACAGCGCGGAGAUUAGCAUCAAGGAGACACAGAGGCUUGGAAGAGGGCGGGGAGCGAGGGGGGGCCGCUGUCUCCUUCAUAAACCAGCCUCUUCCCCACCGCUCGGGAUUGAAACCAGCGGCUUCCUUUACGCGCGCCUGCCUGGGGUCCUUGUGGCGACAGGGCGGGGCGCGCGCGGUGCGUUUGCGCGCGCGAGAGGCGUUUUAACUUUUCCUCGACAUUCUCCUCAGGAUACCCCCGAGUUCCCCUUUUCCCAAGCCCCUCGGCGGCUUCUCUCCUUCCCUCACGCCGCCUCGAACUUCUCCGUUCAGGGGCUCCCCUAACCGCCUCUCCAAAAAGAGAGAGAAACAGAAAGGAGGAGGAAGAAGGGGUAAAAUCAAUCAGAGAACCCCAUGCAAAAGACUUGCCCGGGCCUGGAAGCCCCGGCUGGCGGUAGUAGCACCACCACCAAGUCUCUAAUCCUCGCCGAGGGAGGAGGAGGACGGUGGGAGUUGGGUCUGGCAGGGGACCGCGCGCGCUUCGCGGGCGUUUUCGCUGCUAAGGGGAGGCUGGAGGCCACCGUACCCGCCGCCGGCAAGACAGCGAGGCGCACACGUUGGCUGCAAAAGUCUGGAGGAUCUCAAGUCUGUGUUUGUGCAUGAGAUCGCAGGCGCCGGAUCGGUGCAGGAGAGGAACCAUGUGAGUGUGCCCCUCGGCUUCCUAUUCUUCAAGCCAAAUAAAUGCACGCGCAAUAACCCGGGAAGGGGAAUCAAAUCCUAAGAGAGAGAGAUUGGAGAGGGAGAGAGGCGCCGGGGUGGCGGAAAGUCUCUUUCUCCUUGGCUGCUUUUGUUUGCAAAUCCGGCGGCUUGGAAGAUGGAGAUGGAUGUUCGGGGAGUUUCUCCGUGCCCGGAGCCCAUCCCCCACGCCGCGCAGGGGUCUGGAGGCUGUCAGCAGCAGCAGCAGCAGCAGGAUGGGCAGGCAGGGGAAAGCGCCGGUGACAGCGCGCAGCAGCAGCCGGAGAAGAGGCAUAGCGGUGAGAAGGAAGACAAAAAGGUAGGUUCCCCCACCAACUCUGCGUCCUUCCCCCUUUGCCGAGGCGGAAAUCGCCGAGCGCGCACAGGAGGGGUUGGGUGGGGGUGGGGAAAGCCGCCUUUGAGAAACUGGGAGGGUCGAGCGGGUGGGGGAGAGCAAUCUGGAUAUAGGAAGCAAAUGAUCGUGGAUGGGGGAGGAAGGGGAGUAAAAAAAAAAAAGGAGCUCUACGUCUCUCCGUGCAGAAAUGGUGCCUUGGAUUUUAAGCCUAAAUGUAUGCGUUGUUAUGCAUUUUUUAAAAACUUAGGUUUUGGAAGUGCUCUUGUCAUUCCCCACCCGGUUUGAUGCUUUUCUUUUCUUUUCUUCCUUCCCCAAAUCGAAAACAAUGAGUUAUUCGGCGCAGACAAGGGCGGUCCUAAUGUGGUUUAAGGGCAAGGCAAGAUUAAGAAGUCUGAAAGAGCCACUUGUUAAGGGUGGGACCCUUCUCUGAUAAGGAUUGUGGUUCUUUUUCAACAGCGUUGUUCUGGGUCCAGUGUGGAGGGCGCGGUGAGGGGUGGGGCGCUUUACGAACUGCAACGACAACGGAGGAAAAACUGCUGGCUCAAAAGUUUGCUUUAACAGCAUAUCCCUUGCUGAAGUGUCUCCUCUGGCAUAUAGGGAACAGGGGCCUAGAAUGUGCUGAAUAGAUAUCAAAGGGAGAGGAGGAAAGCCUGCACGGUUUUGGGGUUUUUUGCUGCUACAUCCUUGCUGUGUCAUUGUAGAUGGGCUGCUUCAUCCUGUACCAAGAGCAAGAAUCCUUUGGCAAACUGAAAGAAAUGGGUCAGCCUUGCCUUCCUUGGUGGUGCUGAUAGAUCUUCUGCUCUGCGAAUUCUCUGAAGCAGGCUUCCAAAGAGAGGGGAGCAUGUCCCUGCUAAAGAUAAUGCUAGCGAAACACAUUGAUCAGUCCUCCUGUCUGUAGGUAUGCCUGCCUUGCCAAUAAUGUUUCCCAGCAUGGGUUUCAUAAAUGGAAGGACUGGUGUGCUUGCAGCAGAGAUGCUCACAAUGGCCUAAGCUUGCCUACAAGGUGAAUGUGGAUUAUUGAUCGAGUGAAAACAUUUGCAUGCUGCAAAAGUUGACUAACCUUCCAUUGGAGUUCGUGUGUUGCCUAUCUGCUGUGGACGACUGCGGCGUUAGUAGUAGGUUGUUUCCUUCUUAAAUAUGAAUGGCUACGCUACCCUGGGAACUGGUGUGUUUUCAUGGUGUAGUUUUCACAUUCAUGGGAGAGUUCUGAUGCUUGUAUUAAAAGAUGUAUAAGGAAAGAGCCACUCAACCAACCAAUGGAGAAACGGAUAGCAGCCACAAAAACUUAUACAUGGGUCAAAGGAAAGAGAAUCCAGUUACUUCAAUAAAGUAGUGUUUAUGAAGCAACAGAUCCUUUACUCCUUAUUAAAUUCCAGUUGCACCUGGAAUUAGAUCUUUUCUGAUCUGUGUCAAUUGAGUGCCUCCGCCUUGCUGUGCUAUAUAAUUAAACAUUAUGCACCAACUAUAUAGGACAUUAAUUUUUAUCGUCAACAGAAAAGGAUACUCAUCCUACUGAAUUCUGUCUCUCACACACACACACUAGAGGCUGUUGGUUGACAACACUACAUUUAAUUCUCGUGCCUCUAUUUGUAUUGGUUACUUUCUAACAUUGCUGCUGCUGCUAUUAUUAUUAUUACUACUAAUAUUAGGAUCUCUUUCCUCCCCACGCUCAAAAAACCUGGAAGGCCAAUUUUGCAUUCUUGCUUUUAAGCUUCCUAAGGUGCCCUGUGUUCUAGUAAGUGCUAGUAAAUUUUUGACUGUUCAGGCCUACAAAACCAUUCCAGCUGUGCAUAUUCCUCAAAUAUUAGCUUGCACGCAUUAAUUACCGUAUUUUUUGCUCUAUAAGACUCACUUUUUCCCUCCUAAAAAGUAAGGGGAAAUGUGUGUGCGUCUUAUGGAGUGAAUGGUGGCUGCACAGCUAUCCCAGAAGCUAGAACAGCAAGAGGGAUAGUUGCUUUCGCUGCGCAGCGAUCCCUCUUGCUGUUCUGGCUUCUGGGAUUCAGAAUAUUUUUUUCUUGUUUUCCUUCUCCAAAAACUAGGUGCGUCUUAUAGUCUGGUGCGUCUUAUGGUAAAUAUGCGCAAGAGCUACUACUGAAAUGUUUGGCGGCUGUGCCAAAAAACGCCUUCAGCAUUUCAAAAGCAUGCCAUCAGCAGAAAUCAGUGAUCAGUAGUUACUUCUAGAUGUACUGUGCACUCUGCCUAAUGUUUUACUAGCAGCCGGUAGCAGGAAGUCAAAUAAUGUGUGCCUGCAGGUUAAAAGAUGACACUGAUGAUGCUUGGCGAGAUUCAUAGCUAAUUAAAACAUACGUAAUUGAGCCUUCCACUGAGAUGGGUUUUCUGUUGUGUUUGUGAGCUUCUUGACAUAGUUAACAGUACAGCUUUUCCUCUGGUGUUGCCUUUCAAAUAACAUGAUGACAGCAUUCCUCUUGGUGCCCAGUAUCAAAGCUGAACUUACCUUAUUUAUUGCCUGAAGAACUCUGUUUCUGGGACUAGGGGUGGGGAGAAGGGAACUACUAAUCAAUUAUGGGUUUACAGUGCUUUCACCAGUGCUAAACUGUUCCAGGUCUUCAUUAAGAAUACCACUGAUUGUGAGCAAUCAAACCAUUGUAACUAAAUCACUUGUGUUUUAUUUAUUUCAAAAUAUUAAACGGACCAUUUUCCAAAUUGAUACAUCAUGCACAUGUAUGGGCAUACACACACAGUCUCUCUUCCGUGUAUUGAAACGCUGCAUACUUAGUUGUUCUAUAGCACUCUUGGUGUGAAAUCCCUGCAAUGCUCACUUCAGUCGUGCUCAAAGCUAUCUUGUGAAGUGAGUCAGUAGGGCUGCAAUAUUACAGAUACUUUCCUAGAGUAAACCCCUGUGAAAACAGCGGGGUUUACUUAGGAGUACAUUUGUAGGAAUGUGCUGCAAUACUGCCUUUGCAUAAGACGAGGCUAACUUCUGCUUAAGCCAGGCUUUAAAUCCAGGUCUAAGGACCAAGGUAACAUUCUGCAAAAUCAUGUUUUUGAAUUCUUCUCCUCAUGCAAAAAGCAAAGCAAAGCUUGAGUGCAGAAAACCAGUAUAUUGGAGAGAGACAAAACUAUGUCUCCCUGGAGAGCUGGCUUUCUACAGGAAAGUAUUCCAUAUUUUCCCUCUUUGCAGGGAGUGAAUGUUGGUUUUCCAAGCUGGGUGGUUGUGGUGGUAGUUUCAAAGGUGGCAGCUGGGAGGCAGGACAGUAUUUCUCCAGUUUCUGGCAAGGUUUCCAGACAGUCUAUAGUAGUACAACCUGCAAUGAAUUGUUGAUAUUUAAGGAGGCAUAUUCAAAACUUCUGUGAACCCUAUUGAUUUGUAGAAUGAUAUCUCAGUUGGUAGAGUAUGAGACUCUUGAUCUCAAUAUCGUGAAUUUGAGACCCACGUUGGGCCAAAAAAAUCCUGCAUUGCAGGGGGUUAUAGAUGACCCUUGUGGUCCCUUUCCAACUCAGCCAUUCUGUGAUUCUGUGAUUCUCAAGUCAAGGCUUGAAAGCUGAAGAACAUGCUCCAGUCUUAGAGCUGGCUUAACAACAGAUAUGAAUCUAUUUAUACCUAAAGAAUUUAUAUACAGUGGAACCUUGGUUCUCAAACGGCUUAGUUGAUGAAGAAAUUGGCUCCCAAACACCAAAACCCCGGAAGUAUGUGUUCCGGUUUUUUAACGUUUUUUGGAAGCUGAAUGUCCGACGCAGCUUCUGCUUUAGUGCAGGAAGCUCUUGCAGCCAAUCGGAAGCCGCGCCUUGGUUUUCGAACGAUUUUGGGAGUCAAAUGGACUUCAGGAACGGAUUAGGUUUGAGAAUCAAGAUUCCACUGUACUUAUUUUCUGUCAGACCUCAAAAAGUGGCUUAUCAAUGAUUAAAGAGGUCUUCAAACUAUUAAACAGAAGAAAACAACACCUUUCAUUACAAGGCAUUUCAUCAAAACUCUGUGGUUUUCAAAAACUUCCCCAGACAUUAAAAAAAUCUUCCAAAUUGUACGUACUUACAGGUUAGCAUAAGCAUUAGAAGCGUCACUCUUGCCUUGCAGAUCAUACAGAAUAAAGUCUGACAGCAGGAAGAGAAAAUGAGAGGGAGGGACUAGAAGGGGACCAGGCCUUGUACCCCAACAGAGAUGAUGGGCAGGGGAGAGGAGGAACUCUCUCUUAUGGGAAACAUCAAGUGAGCUGUUUAAUGGGUAGGAAGAGAAAGGUGCUGAAGCAGAAACGUACAAACCCAAGUUUUGAGUGGAGAGAAGGUGGAGAGCUGUUUCAGAGGCAGCAGAAUGGCCAGGGAGGAAGCAGCAAAGAGUAAUUCAGGGAGGUGGUUUCUUUGACAGUGCAGUAGACAGUAGCCAGCUUGCUAGGGAUUAAACAGAGUUGUCAGAAAGAAAGUAGAGACAGUUAAAACAGAAAAGGGCUCACCCAAUGAGGCAGUCAUAGCAAUAGCCUCCUGGCAGCAGCGUCAGCUGGGAGGGUGAGUUGGAUGGGGGGGCUGCAGGGGCUGCAUGGCACACCAGCGGAGUCAAUCUGGCGUUCCCCCUUGUGUGCUACUGGAAGGUCCUCUGGUAGCAAGGCACCAGGGCUCCACUACCAGAGUCGCUAGUUUGACCCUCCCAGAGUCUUACAGGGGGUGUCUAAAUAGUUGUCCAUUGGUUAGAGCAGGCACCCCCAACCUUUGGCCCUCCAGAUGUUUUGGGACUACAAUUCCCAUCAUCCCUGGCCACUGGUCCGGGUAGCUAGGGAUCAUGGGAACUGUAGGCCAAAACAUCUGGAGGGCCACAGAUUGGGGAUGCCUGGGUCAGAGGCUUCCAAGACUUCAUACCAACACUGUUCUCUGAUCUAUCCAUGCUUGUUCUUCCUAUUCCUUCCUGUUACUGUGCAGUUACUGUAUUGUGUUGAGAUGAAACCCAACCAGAACUAGGCUAGGGCUGGUGUUCAGGUUGUACUGAAAUAUGUUCACUAUGAGUAUGGAGUCCAGCAUGGAACUGAGCUGAAGCUUGUGUCAAAUAGUGAGCUAAACAAAAUUAAAAAAUUUCUAAUCCAUAAUACUUGAGGCAGGGUAUUUCCUAUUUUGAAUAGAGCAUGCCUUCCUUGACCCGUAAGCUCUGGUUACUCUAGAUCACCAAGACAAUUUGCAGUGGACACGGUCAUGUGUCUUCUUUCGGAAGCCUAUUAAGACAUGGGAAAGUUAGAUCUCCAGUAGGAAAUCAUUACCUCUGUGUUUCAAGUUAAUUCCUGUGAGAAGGACAUCUUUUGUUUCUAUAUUCUUUAUUUCCAUGCACUGUCUUUCCGUUACCUUUUCAAAAUUGCUUUUUUUGCUCAGUCUAAUGAAGUUGGUUCGUCAGCUUCUCCCAAAUGCAGAGAAACGAUGUUAACAAAAGAGGGUUCUUGCAGAAUCCGUUUCUGAAUUAUUUUAAAUUGAGCUCAUGCUGCAGACUAGCAGAGAGAGCCUUUGGUUAGACUUCAUAAUGGCUUUGUCAAGUCUCAUGCAAUGUUGGGGGAUUCUGCAAAGGGACUAAUAAAUACACUAUUUUUAAAAAUUACUUGGUCGCUGAAAAGAAUUGCGGAAGCACACUGAGCCUGAACAGCUGUUUGAAUUUUUUUCAGCCAAAUGAUCAAUAAGUGGAUGAAGCUUGAAAAGCCACUCACACCGAUGAUGAUUCCUGGGGCAAGUGCAGAAAAUGCUAUUGUAAUGGGGUGGGAAAUCUCAUUAAAAUAGGUACUAUUUUGAGUAGAGGCGAUCACAGAGUGGAGUGAGGUGUGUCAGUGAGUGUUUGUAUGCAUGUGCAGAGAAGAUUGAUUAUAUAAACAUUUGCACAGUUAGAAAUAAUGAACAAGAAAGAGACCACAUGGAGAAUGCCCUAGAACACACAUUUAAUGUAACUACAGCUUUGUCUAUUAACACGUGAGUUUUUAUAUUCAUGCCCUGGAGCUAAGGGUGUAUGGAUUGGCUUAUACCCGGUCUUGCAGUUUUUUCAUUCUUAACUCUUGUUUUCGCGUCAGUCUGUAGAUUAACUUUUAAAUGACCCAGGAAUUUUACCCCAAUGUACGUGUUACCCUAAAAUGUGCAUUUUGUCUGAUGCAUCUUAUCCUAGAAUAUAGACUUUUGUAUCCAUUUUAUCGUAAAAUAGGCAUUUGAGUGUGCAUAUUAACUACUGGCAACCCAGCCAUAUGGGUGGGGUAUAAAUAAUAAAAAUUAUUAUUAAAAUUUAUUAACAAAUGUACAUUUUAUCUGCUGUUUUUUUGCACGUUUUUAACUAAAAACUCUAUUGCAAAAUUUGGUGGUGUGAAAACUAAAGGAUAGCUGGACUCCGAUUAGUCCAGGAAGUGCCAAUGAGGUCUUUAAAAAUGUCGACCAAAUAAUUCAUUGAGCAUUCUGCACCUGAAGCAAGUCUGAUAUUUUCAGUAUAAUUCAGUAGGGGCUGGCAGAUGUCCAUUGUUUUAAAGGGCACAUCUUACCACAAUAGAAAACCACGUCUGUCUCCCCUGAAUUCAGCUGCAUUGAACUAAUAGAACAAAUGCCAGCUCUUCAACCUCUACUUGAGUGUCUGCAUAUACUUGCUUCUUAGAAACUUGGAGGUGUUGUGGUAUCUCCUGCUGCAGCCCAACCCAUUUUCGCCCUUUUCCCAGUCAGUCAGAUACCCUACAAAAAAAGCAGGAAUAAAUCUCUGCUGCAAUACACAUUUUGCAAAAUAUCUACUACAUUUUGAUGUGUCUGCCAUGGAUAAUGUCCAAGGUGAAUAACACAGUCCCCUCCAAAACACGAGACUUACAUUAGAAAUGUCAUUUGACAUUUUUAAUGUGUGGAUAUACAAGAAAAAAUUGCCUAGUUUUCAUUCAGAGUGAAAUUAACUAGACCAGAAGCUGCUCUUGAUCUUCGCUAGUCCAUUUCACUUCACAUUUUGGUUUUAUCAGGCUACGGAGAAUAACUGCACCUUCAUAGACGCUUGCCCUUGCAAAGGUUUUCAUCCCCCCUCCCCAAUUUUCUUCUUACCAUUGUCAAAGUGCUGAUCAAGGCUAGAGCAAUAGGAGCAGGAACAAGUAAGUUGCACUCUCAGGAAUUUUGCCACAGGGAAAAAAUGUAUCUCUGUACAGGCAUCCAAGUAUUACCUUCUGAAAACCUUGCAGGUUCUGAUUUCAUAUCUCUGCUUAGCCAGCUGUGUGAUACACUAGUGAUGGCUGGUGGGUUGGGGUAUAUUGCAGUACCAGCCACUGCCACUGAGUAGCAACCAAGAGGAAGGGGUUCCACAACCUCAGUCCCAAGUGUUGCAUGGCAUGGCAGUGGACUAACCUGGGAAGGAAUUGGCUUGUAGAAGGAUUACCUGUCGCCACUGGUGCGUGUAUCUGGUGCGUGUAUCUGACGUGUAUCGGGGACAUCCUGGGAAGAGGGCCUUCUUAUUUGUGGCAUUGUGUCUUUGGAAAACACUCCCCAGAGAAGCUCACCUGGUGCCUUCACCUUUUCAACAAGCUCUUUCUGUUUUCCUUUUGAACUCCCACAACUUGAUUGUUUAGGCCAGGGGUCAGCAAACUUUUUCAGCAGGGGGCCGGUCCACUGUCCCUCAGACCGUGUGGGGGGCCGGACUAUAUUUUGAAGGGGGGGAAAUGAACAAUUUCCUAUGCCCCACAAAUAACCCAGAGAUGCAUUUUCAAUAAAAGGACACAUUCUGCUCAUGUAAAAACACGCUGAUUCCCGGACCAUCCGCGGGCCAGAUUUAGAAGGCGAUUGGGCCUUAGUUUGCCUACCCAUGAUUUAGGCCUCAAUUGUACCUUCUGUUUUUACAAUGCUUUUGUUGUUGUUGUUGCUUUAUGAUUUUAUUAGAAUGGGUUUUUUUAAUUCAUUAUUGUUAGCUGCUCUUGCUACCUGUUAUUGAAGGGUGGAAUCGUGAUUUGUGAAAUAAAUUAAACCAUCUGCAAUCCUGUGCACAGUGGGACUUAACUUCUGUGCAAAGUUGCAUAGGGUCACCUGAGCAUUUGUGGCAUGCCUGCCUGUUACUGCUAAACUAUACAUGGUGAUUUUAUAUAUAGCGACUAAUGCCACAGGUAGUUUGCUGCUGAAUAACAACACACACCCGAGAUUUGUGGACAGAGUUUUCAUGCCAGAGAGCCUUUGACUAAUUACAUUCCAGUCCAAACAACAUGCUUCAGUUCCUUCUUGAACAUUCCCUAAUACAUAUGAGCAUAUUCCUAAUAUAAUUUCUGAUAAAAGUAGUGCAGUUCGUCUUCCAAAGUGAAGAACUAGAAUGCAGGAGCUGUCCACCAGCUUGGAACAGAUGGACAACAAUUAGUGUUUAAUGCUUUUGAAAAUGUUGCUGUGUAGUUCUGAAGAGAUUUCAGGUCUUUUGUGCUUGCAUGGAACAACUUAGGAUCUGUUUCACACCUGAGGUUUAAAUCAGCAAUGUUUUAAAUGGGCUGUUCGUUGGAAUUUAUAUUCAGUUUUUCUUCUAAAUUUCCUCCUGUAUAUACAGCAUUCAUUUGUGACGCUAAAUUAAUGAAAGUGGCUUAAAUGUGCUUCGUAGAUUGCAGUCCUAUGUAUAUUUAUCUGAGAAUACCACUGAAGUCAGGAGGAUUUACUUCUGAGUAGACAUUAUUAUUUUUAUUAUUAUUUAUUGAAUUUAUAUACCACCCUAUACCUGGGGGGGUGGUCUCAGAGUGGUUCACAGAAUAAAAUCAAUAUAUAAAACUACAAAAUACAUAAUAAAAAUAAAAACAACAAGCCAAUAGCCCAGUGCAUAAGAUUGUGCUGUUAGUGUAUCACAUAUGAGAAUGUACUUAGGCUGCAGUUCUCAGCAUAUUUACAUGGGAGCAAGUCUCUUUGUAUUCAGUGGGACCUAAUUCUGAGUAAUGUUUGGGAUGGUGUUGCUAGGUUCCAGAUUGCUUCUGUGUUACUAGGAUAUUUAUCAUCCCAUGGAAAUGCAAUAGCCAGUAAUCAGUGUAAGGGUAAAGGGACCCCUGACUGUUAGGUCCAGUCGCGGAUGACUCUGGGGUUGUGGCGUUCAUCUCGUUUUACUGGCCGAGGGAGGUGGUGUUUGUCCGCAGAUAGCUUCUGGGUCAUGUGGCCAGCAUGUCUAAUCCGCUUCUGGUGAAACCAGAGCAGUGCACGGAAACGCCAUUUACCUUCCCGCCAGAGUGGUACCUAUUUAUCUACUUGCACUUUGACGUGCUUUCGAACUGCUAGGUUGGCAGGAGCAGGGACCGAGCAACGGGAGCUCACCCCGCCGUGUGGAUUCAAACCGCCAGCCUUUUGAUCGGCAAGCCCUGUGGUUUAGACCACAGCGCCACCCGCGUCCCUUCAGUAACCGGUGUGGGUACUCGCAAAAGAAAAUAAAUUAUUAUAUAGCUCAGAUCUCCCUAUACUCUGGCUGCAGGAGCACUGCUUCCAUGAUAUUUUUGUGUGCAUCUUUAAUACCUGUCUGGCAUGCAGCAUCCUUUGCUUUGAAUUUUUUAUAAUUGUGGGAUUCUCAAACUUCUGCAGAGUGUGUCUGGCCAGAUAAUAAAUAAACUGUCCCCCCCGCCCCCCCAACAACUUGAAACCAAGACAAAGGCAUGAUGCCAAGUGGGUCCCUGGCUGGGAGAGAGAAGUAUGUUUAUUACUGUGCUUUAACUUCUCCCAAAGAGUGAGUUGCUCAAUAGGGUGUCAUCAUUCAAUACAAAGGAAGUGAAGAUACAUAGUUGAUAAGGAUAUUGAGGGAAAUCCGGUCCAUUGUCUGCCGCUACUCACUCAAGAGAUACACAAAAGCUUCUUAAUAUGUGUGUGCGUGCAAGGGGGAAGCUCAUGCUUCUCUGCAUGUAAUCCUUGCAAUUGUUUUCUCAUGCAGAAAACCUCCAAACCUGCCUGUGAAAAUAUAGCAAAGCCAUUUUCCUGCUGAGUAUUUGUCUGUUCGGGGGUCUUCUUCUUCUUCUUCUUUGGCGAUCACUCACAGGCGAGUAAGAUUGUCUUCCAUAAACACAGUUUUAACAAUGAGUCCGUAAGUGACUGUGGAGGCCAAUUCUGGAUCCACACAUCCUUCCACAGUGGGGACAUUGGUUUCCGGGUGGGAGUUCAUCAUGGUAAGGGUUUGCCAAGUGUGACUUCUUCUUAGCACGUUUCUCCCUUGCAUCCUGAGUUCAAGCCUCUUCAAAACCCAUGACACCUUUGGUAAAGGCUGUUCUCCAAUUGGAGCGCUCGCAGGCAAGUGUUUCCCAAUUGUUGGUGUUUAUACUACAUUUUUUUAGAUUUGCCUUGAGACAGUCUUGAAAUCUCUUUUGUUGACCACUAGCAUUACGCUUUCCAUUUUUAAGUUAGGAAUAGAGUAGCUGCUUUGGAAGAUGAUAAUCAGGCAUCCACGCAACGUGACCAGUCCAACAAAGUUGAUGUUGAAGAAUCAUCGCUUCGACACUGGUGAUCUUUGCUUCUUUCAGUACACUGGUACUAGUUCGCCUGUCUUCCCAAGUGAUGUGUAAAAUUUUUCGGAGACACCAUUGAUGGAAUCUUUCGAGGAAUUGGAGAUGGCGUUUAUAAGUGGUCCAUGUUUCACAAGCAUACAGUAAGGUUGGUAGUACAGUAGCUUUGUAAACAAACAUUUUGGUUUCCUGGAUCAUUAGUAUGGGGAAGGGUCAUAGUGUGUUUCCCAGAUACUCCCAGGUUCAGUCCCUACCUUAGCAUCCCCAGUUGGACAAAUCCUGUAGGAAGGGAAGGAGAAGACCUGUGCCUGAAGCCCUGGAAAGCUGCUGCCAGUCAGAAUGCGCAGUACUAGGUUACAUGGGCAAAUAGUCUGACCUGGAAUAAGGCAGCUUCCCAUGUUUCUAAUUUUCAGUGGCCAAAUGAGUCUAUAACUUAUAUCAAGGCACAGGAGUAUAAGGUCCAGAGGGAGUGAUGACUGGAGUUAUUAGUGAGCAUUUGGAGCGCUGCCUUGCUUAGGAGCGAAACUUUGUGCCCCACUGUAGCUCAUUACUUUCAUGUCUACCUCUGCAAUCUUUCUUUAUCUAGUGCAAAAAAAAGGGGGGGUAUGAUUUUCAUCCACAUAGAGGUUGAUCCUCUAUUCAGCGCUGCCAGUAGCAAGACUCUUUGUGUGGCCCAAGAUCAGAGUGAGUGGAAAUAAAACCCAUUAACGCCUGCAGGAUGCACAGCUGAGCAAGGGCAAGGAAGCUGCAGUCCGGGGUUGUCGCUAACUCUCACCGACUGCAGCGUGUUGCCUUCCAUGGGAAUUCAAGAACAUAAGUCUGCUUAGGGAACGGGAGUUGAGAAAUCAUGGCUAAAUGCUGUUACUAAUGUGUAAGGAAUAUACAACGGUAGAUCUAACCGCACGAAAUAGAAUAUGUGGCCAUAUUUCCUUCCUUCAGCUAGAGAAUCCCAGGGACAAACGGAAGUAUUUAACGUGGUGAAGAAGAAGAGUUUGGAUUUGAUAUCCCGCUUUAUCACUACCUGAAGGAGUCUCAAAGUGGCUAACAUUCUCCUUUCCCUUCCUCCCCCACAACAAACACUCUGUGAGGUGAGUGGGGCUGAGAGACUUCAGAGAAGUGUGACUGGCCCAAGGUCACCCAGCAGCUGCAUGUGGAGGAGCGGAAACGCGAACCCGGUUCCCCAGAUUACGAGUCCACUGCUCUUAACCACUACACCACACUGGCUCUAUGCUAUUCAUUAGUAGUAUGGGGCCUAUAUAUGUAGGAUAGGUUCCCUUCCUCUAACAGAAGCAUCUUCUUCUGAUGAAAGAAUUUCUUUCUACGAUGGAAGGAGAAAGGAGGAAGACUUUUCCCAUCUGGUCAGGGAUGGGGAAUCUGUGGUCCUCAGGAUAUUGUUAGGCUCCAGCUCGCAUCAGACCCAGCCAGCAAAACCAGUGCUCAGGGAUUAUGGGAGUUCAGUAUGAAUGAAUGAAUGAAUGAAUGCGUGAAUGAUGGGAGUUGUGUUCGAUUUACAGCAGGAGAGCACCAGGUUCUUCUUCAUCCCUACUUUACAAUCAGCCCAUAGCCUGGGUCUUCUGGCAGUUUUACACCUUUGUCCCUUGUGAUGUGAGACACACACACACAAUCUCUAUAUUUAUCUUUUAUUCAUGCUGCUUUGUGUACAAAUGGUGAUGAAUGGUAAACAGAGCAAAACAGAAAUAUUAAGUCAAUUGUUGUUGUGUGUAUAUCUGUCUGAAGCCAUUAAGCAAACUUGUUAGUUUAACAGCAAACAUCUUUCCUUGAUUUUAUUGUUUUACCUUUUUGAUAAACUGCUUUGAGGUAGAAUCAAAUGGUUUAUAAAUUUUAUGAAAUAAAUAAAAUAGAUAAAUUGGAAAUAUUUUAUGAUAAAUAAUUUUAGAUAGAUAGAUACCUCUGGGUUCAGGAAGGGCUGAUGAAGGGGUCAGUGGUCACCUCUGCUUUCAUGGAAGAAGGCAGCACAUCAUGAUUGUGUGUGUGUGUGUGCGCGUGCGCGCACACACACACACACACACACAAUCCUUUUUCUUUUCAUAUAUGCACACACGUAUGCACAAUAAAAAAUACAAACUACAGUAAAAAGGAGAUGCAACUUUUGGAGCUUUUGUUUGUUCAUGAACUGAAAUUUGUAGACCAUCCAGCUUGAAGCUCUCUAGAUGUUUUGGACUACAACUCCCAUCGUCUCUGACUAUUGACCAUGCUGACUGGGGCUGAUGGGAUGUGUAGUCCAAAACAUCUGAUUGGCACUGUGGCGUUCGUACAGAGCCCCUGGUCGUUUCACGGACUAUUGACCUGUACACCACUGCUUUAUUCUUCCGCUGCCACCAACCAAGUUUCUUCAGGUGAAAUACUGAGUCUCAGUCAGGUUGUAAAGUCAACAACAAAGAUUAAAGUUUACUGAAGAACAAACAAGUUUUAAAUAUGUUCAGAACGGUUUCUCAAAUGUGCGCCCUUAACUAGAUGUGGCACUAUCUCACACUGUCACACUCUUCUCUCUCAGUUCUAUCCCUGUCUCUCACUCUUAACUGUCACAACCACUAUGUUCGACUUUUACUGCCUCUGUCUCACUCCUCUAUCUCUCCAUGGUUAAACCCCUGGGCUGAGCCUCAAAACCAGGUAGGCUCCGCCUCUGAGCUUUCUCAUUGGUCAAUCUACAUUAACCAUUUCCAUCCCCCUGUACAAACAUAAUCACAAGGAAUGGGCAAACGCCACAGGCACUACUUUGUGGGAAGACUUCCAAAUUGUGGCCCUGGCUGUGCUAUCACGUUGCCUCCUCUAGAGAAGCCCACAGUGAAAAACGGCCUGCUGCAGGCUUUGUUUAAAGCCUAAGCUACUUCUCUUGAGAUGGGCUUCUAGAGAUUUGUAGGUUUUUCUUUAGACAGGCUUUGGAACUUUAUAACUUCUGCUGGUAAUCUUAAUUUAGGCUUGCAGAUUUGGAGUGGGUUGUUUGAUGCAAGCCGCCUUGAGCUAUUUAAAUGGAAGAGACAGGUUAUAAAUUUAAUGAACUAAACAACCACGACAACAAAACCCCUAUUGGCAAUACUUGCUCAAGGGUCGUCGUUACCACCCACAUUUCUGUAACUGGAGUAGUCAAGCUCUGUGAUAAGGACUAAACAAGGUCCACCCUACCAGGUGUGUGUUGAGAUGGUCUUUUUCCAUCAAAGUGCUUUUGCGCCGACCAGUGCUGGGCUAGUUUUCUUUGCACACCUCUUUGUAACAUAAGAAGUUGCCUCCAGACAAGCUGCUUAUUUGAGCAUUCAUCCUCAUUUGCCUGCACAAAGCUUGUGCAAAGUUAAGACUGUGCCCGCUCUGUAUUGAGCAUUCGUCCUGAUUUGUUUUGCAGGAACGUUAUAUGACAAUGGACAUUCAUCCUGGUUAGCUUUCCCAGUGUAUAUACAUUUUCCUAUUUAUCAUUUGUCCACCCUGCACUUCUUAGUGUAUAACCACAGGAAAUCCUUAAAAAAAAUAAAAUGUUGCGCUAGGGUGAUAGAGUGCCUUCAUCCACUUUAAUUGCAUGAGCUUGAAUUUCCACUGUGCGUUGUGAUCCCUCCCCCAAAAUAUUGACAAUUAGCCUAUUUGUCCUCUUAGCUUAGCUUGUCUGUUCUGACUGGUUGCAUUCUUCCGGCGUCUCAGGCAGACCUGUUUUCUGCUACCUUUCCUUUUCAUUGACAGUGCUGUGGAGUGAACCCGGGACCUUCUGCAUGCCAGCCAUGUGCUCUGAUAAGCAGCCACAGCCCCACUGUUAAGUUGUGGGUGAACAUAUCAGACGACACAGCGAUUCUUCAAACAGCUCUUGUUUAUUCACAGGCCAGAACUAAACUGAACUCAAGGGUUCAGCCAGCCUGCUUGUAUAGAGCUCCACUAGAACGCAACAGUAACCAUUUUCUGUAACUAACCAAUCACUGAACGUCACUUUCGAUCCCUUAUUUGCAUAUGUGGAGCUGAACUGUCUACAGUAUCCCCCUGCUGGCCCAGGGUGAGAACUUCAAUACAUAACACCCACCUUUUCGCUGAAGCUGGGAGUGAUGGCAAAUCUAGAUGCUCAAUGCAGAAUGGGGUUGGUGGGAGCAGUGUUAGGCAACAAUUCCCCAAGAGUUAUUUUUUGCACUCUUAGCUGCUUGUCUUCCAUUUUUACCAUUUUGAUCUUAUUUAAAGUGUACAAUAAUGAGGUGUAUUUCGGCAUUCUCUUUCUCUGUAUUGCAUCAAAGCGUUUUAAAAAUUAUUUUUUAAAUCACAUCUUUGGACGUACUUGUGGGAUGGAAGCGGAGUUGCAGCAAAAUGUCUCCAGCUAGUUACAGGAGUCGUCAUUAGCACACACAGCAUAUUGGUCUAACAAAAGGAAUAAGGUGUUUGAAGUGCCUUGGAGAAUAAGGAGCCAUGUUCUGAAGUUGAAACUGUCACUAGAAAUAGCGCAUUUUUGAGUGAUAUGUCUUAAAAAGCUUUUCCAUUAGAAUAAGCUCUUUCAUGUUCCGAGCACUUUCUCCUUUUGCAUAGGAGGGUCACAUAAAAUGUCAGAUGUCGAUAUUGAUGUACUGCACCGAGUUUAACAUGUUUAAAAUUAAUGUGCAUUCAACGCUGUGCCCUAAUGUCAUGUGCGGGAAUGUCUGUGGUAUAUCAAACAGGCUGCGGGAAAUGAAAACCCCUCUUUUAUCGACAUUUGGUAAGGAAUCUGAAUAGGAGGCCGGAUUCCUGUGACCACAACAAUGUUACAGUUCAAAUACAUACAUACAUACAUACAUACAUACAUUUCAGUCAAAUGUUUUCAUUCAUUCUGGGCCUAAGGAAUCUCUUCCUCCAGCACCUCUUUUGGAUGAGUUGUCUACCUAUUUUUUAGAAAUUGUUGCAACAUAUCCAUUUCUGCAUUUCAGGGUAUGUUUACCUGGGAAUAAGCAGAACACAGGGGGACUUACCUCUGAGCAAACCCAUACACAGGAUCGUGCUGUUAAUGCACACCCAUGCUGUCUAUAAUUUCAGUAUGGCUACAUAGGUGGCAACCCAGGCUUUGUAAAAAGCAAAAACUCCCAAGCACAGGUGAAGCGCCGCUCUAAUUUGUAUACAGGGAUUUCUCCUAAAUUUGAAUUUAUGGGGUGCAUUCAGAGCUCAUCUUAUAUUCAAUAAUCAGUCUGCCAUAAUAUAUAGCGGGACUAUCUAACUUAGUAUUUCAGCCUGAAAACCUUGGCAACAGCAUCGUUAUUUUUAUGCAAAUUGAGAAAUUCGGGAGAUUAUAAAGUGAGUAAUUUCUAUUCCGUAGGCACUGACAGCGCAAUGUUUUUCUUUGACACUCCAUCUGAACAUGCAGCGCUGAAUUAGUCAAAAGGCAGCGAUGGCUUUUCUGGAUGAAACUAGACUUUCACAGGGCCGCCUGAAGACAUUUUGUUGCCUGAACACAGGGCAAAAUGGUUCUUCCUUCCCUUUCUGUGUACAGAAGCAGACCGGACUGUCACUUUCCUCUUUACUUGUUCACCAGCGUCCUCCACUGCCCCUGAGGCUGCACAUGGCAACAGAGAGGGGUGCCUGGGGACUGCUGCUGCCCCUCAACAUCUGCUGUCCAGGGUAGUUGUGUUUGUCUGCCUAAUGGUGGAGUUGGCUAGACAAUUCUGGCCAAAUUGGUUCUGUCCACUACAUAUUGUUCACUUUGGCUGUUGAAAAACCAGUGAGAACCAUUGAAAACCAAGCCUUCCCAUAUCUGCAUAUUUCCACCCCCUUCAUCUGCAUAAAUUGUGGGGUGUUUUUGUGCCAUGCUGGAGUAUGACAAAACAUGGCACCUAUAAAAUCUACAUAGACAAUGUUGUAGGGUUUGUGUGACCUUGCAGCCUUCACUCCAGUUGGUUGUUCAAGAUUGCAGAAGUCAGAAAGCACCUAUUACUCUUUUCCUUCAUUCUUCCAUGUUUGCUGAGAAAGCAGUUCAGGAGACCCUCCAUAUGCCUCUUACAGGAAGCCCUCUAAGUUGGUUCCCAUUUCCUUUUCCAAUCCCUACACUCUACUGAGUGGGCUCUUGCUCACGACUCUGCCUUUCUUUUCGAGUGAGUUUCAGUCUUUGCUCCUGGCUGAGGAAAUGUUUCGGACGCUGCUGCCUGUAGCCCCAGACUCCUUUCCCCCCUCUCCUGCCAAACUACCAGAAAAGCAUGAUGGCCACCAAGGCUGGUCCAAGACAUUUUGUUGUCUGAGACAGAGCUGCAAAUGGCGCUCCCGUGCUCUGCAAGUCAAGGCGCAUGAGACCCAAGGCUGAUCAAACGGUAUUGCCGCCUGAGGCAUAAAAUUCUGCAAGCAUGUUACCCUCACCCUCCCUGGCAGGGAAAGUAAACAGUUGAUUGCCUUUCCAUGACUCCUCACAUCAGCCACUCAAGGCAGUUGCCUCACUUUGCUUAAUGGUAGAGCCUGUCUGCCACCCAUGGUUUCCACAGCUAGUCAGCUGUUCCCUCUAGCGGCUCACCUGUUGGCUCCCCAUCUCCUUUGUCCCCUUCCCCACAUCCCUGUAUCCCAUGGCAUUGGUACAGUGGGCUUAUCAUUUAGUUGCAUUGCCCUCCUACCAACCCUGGCCACUUUACAGGAAUGCUAUCAGGAAGCCAGUGUUUACUCAGACAGGAAAUAUUUCCUGUGGUUCUGUUUCCUGUUCUUUAUUUUAUGAGCAUUUUCAUUUCUUUUAUAUAUCUAUGAUACAGCACAGUGCGAUGUCCCAAAAUGAACAAAAAGUGACAGGUGCAUAAAAUGUGCAGCUGAGCAACUAAAAAUGAACAAAGUGCUGCCAGUGUGUGUGUGUGUGUUAUAAAGAGCUUGACACAUGGUACAUUUUUCUCUAUAGCCUGUGUCCCUUUAAUACAAUGUCUUUACCAAGGAGAAUUGUUUUAUAUAUUUAAUUGCUUAAUCAAAGUUCAAGUUUAUUGCGGCCAAAGCCAGUGACACUAAACAUCCCAAGAUCAGACAACAAGAAAUCAGCAACAACUUCAGAAAAGAAAAAAGGUUACACAAGGGAACUUCGCAGUGUGCCAUUCGACAGAAGAGAUUUACGUUUCUUAAUUACUAAAGUGCAAAAUUUAGCCACCUCAUAUGAUACUGAGCUUGAGGAAUCUUCCAGGAGGUAUUUUCGAAGAAUUUCAGGGGAGGAUUCCAAAUAAUAUUGAAGGGGUAUAAAUUUUGAUAAAAGCGGUAAAAUAAGUUGAGCCUGUUCUUCACUAUAGAAUUCGCAAGAUAGAAGAAUGUGUGUGACAGAUUCUACCUUAUUAGACAUACAAGGGCAGAGACGCGCAUGCAUUGGAACCCGCGUGAAUUUGCCGUACAGCACUGCUGAGGGCAUUGUCUCAAAGCGGGCUCUAGAGAAAGCCCAUCUAUAGGCUUCGCUAGUGAUGUUGGUUAAGUAAGGGGUAGCUGUAAAAUUAGGCCAAGCUUUUAAACAUCUAUACGUCUCUGGGAGUAGGGCGCCUUCUUGUUGUAAUUCGAUAUCAUAAAGUCUCCGAGUAAUAGUAGCUUUUGCCUUGUUCAGAGUUCCAAUAAAGAUAUUUUCAGGGUUUAGGCCAAUUUGUUUGAUCUUGUUAGUUAUUUGCAUAAGCCAAGGAGGAUAGGGAACUGCGGCCAGGAAGCAAGGUAAUAGACCCUUAGGAUUGUAAUGGAUUUUCAGCCAGAGGGAUAUUGCUUGUUCCCAGACUUUUAAUUCCACUCUGGGCAGUCCUGCCUCUUGCCUUAAGACUGCAUUAGGUGUACACUUAGGGGUAGCAAAUAAUGAUCUUAAGAAUUUAGAUUGUACUGUUUCAAGGGUCUUAAGGUUGGCAGAGGGGCUAAUUUGAGAGCCAUAUAGAAGUUGGGCUAAAGAUUUUGCCUGAAAGACUGUUAGGGCCAUCGGGAGGAAGCCAGCUCCUUUCCUUCUGAAUAAUCUAAGGAUAGCAUUUGCACUUCUUUCUGCUGAUAUAGCUGAUGUGGUCAAGUGUGCUGAGAAUUUGGCAUUAUAAGAGAAAGUAAUGCCUAAAUAUUGGAAGGUCUUAGUCUGUUCAAUGGCGUUUCCCUUUACGCUCCAAUUAUCCUUCCUGAAGGAGCGGUUAAAAUGUACAAUUUUGGUUUUGGCAAAGUUAAUUGUUAGCAGUUCAGUGUUACAUUGGUCACUAAACUUUCCUAAGGCGCGUUUCAGACCCACUUUGGUUUGAGAGAGAAGAACGGCGUCAUCCGCAUACAUUAAAAUUGGUACUUUUCUGCCAUUAGAGAACACAGGGGGGUGGGUUUCAAUUUCACGGCAGCAUGUGACCAGGGAGUUAACAUAGAUGUUAAAUAGGAAUGGGGCUAAUAGGCAUCCUUGUCUAACUCCUCUUUGGACUGGGAUUUCUCUAGAGAGUCUGCCGUCCUGUGCAAGUCUUAUCUGGAGGGUAUUGUUCUCAUGAAGCUUAAUCAUCAGAAGUAAUAACCUUCUGUUAAUACCCAUAUUGGCCAAUUUGGCCCAGAGCCUGCUCCUAGAUACAGAAUCAAAUGCUGCCUUUAGGUCCACAAAGGCCGCAUAUAAUGACUUUUUCCAAUAUUUCGCAUACUUAUAGACAAAGUAAUCUAACACUAAGCAGUGAUCAAUGGUGGAACGUCCGGAUGUAAACCCUGCUUGUUCAAUUUCUAGCAAGUUGUUAUGAUCUAACCAUUCCCAUAAUUUUAGGCAUAGAUGUUUUGUAUAAAGUUUACAGAUCACAUUCAGGAGACUAAUUGGUCUAUAAUUAGAUGGAUCAGAGGGGUUGCCCUUUUUAAAUAUGGGAACAAUUAUAGCUAGUCCCCAAUCUUUAGCUGUCCGCCAUCAUACCGGAAGUGUCUACUGUAUACUGUAUACUGUUUCAUAUUUCAACAGAAAUCCGUAAGCAACUUACAAAUGCAAUGUUUACAUUACACUUUUGCUUUGACAAGCGUUUCCAGCUGGAGGAAAACGUCUUAGGUGCUGUAGGUGCUCAUUCUGCAUUCCUUGUAAAAAUCUGUGUUUAAUUUUUAUUUUGCCUUCGUAUCAAAACUAUUUUUAGCUGUUUUUCUGAUAUAUUUGUAAAUUUCCUUGAGACACAUGUGGAAGCCGAAUCAUAAUUUAGAAGCUAAUAACAUUAUACCUACAAAAAAAGAGAAGCAGUAGAAGAAAUGCAAUGCAAAUUCCACGUUCAAAAUCAAAGAAUGCUGCUGCUAAUAGUAAUAAUAUUCUCACAUUUUAAGUAGCUGUUAUUAAAUGCCUCUGAACAAUGUUCCUCAGUAGAACAACUCUGAACCACAAAACAAACACCACCAAAAUACAUCUAAUGCAGCACAAAUGCAGUACAGUGGUACCUCAGGUUAAGUACUUAAUUCGUUCGUACUUAACCUGAAACUGUUCUUAACCUGAAGCACCACUUUAGCUAAUGGGGCCUCCUGCUGCCACCGUGCUGCUGGAGCACGAUUUCUGUUCUCAUCCUGAAGCAAAGUUCUUAACCUGAAGCACUAUUUCUGGGUUAGCAGAGUCUGUAAACUGAAGCGUAUGUAACCUGAGGUACCACUGUAUGUCAGGAACAUCUCACAAACAUUGCAAUCCCCUGCCAUAUAAUAAUACAGUCACCAAAAUACACAUACAUAUUCACACUACACUAAGCAGUAAGAGUGGAACUUAUAUGAUACAUUAUCUGACAUUGUCAUUAUCUGACAAUAUUUUAAGUUUAACACAAGCCAUAACAUGACAGCAUCGUUGUGCUACGCAGUGUAUGAUUGGCUAGUAGGAGUUUGCAACAAUAUACAGUGUAAUGACGUGAUGUCUGGGGUAAAGUAGACCAGGGACAGCCAACAUAGUGCCCUCCAGAUGUAGCUGGACUACACAUCUUAUCAUCCCUGAGCAUUGCACAUGCAGGCUGGGGCUGAUAGGUUUUGGAGUCCCAAGAACAUAACAAUGAUUGCUGUACAUUGGCAGUCAUGGAGCCAGACAUUGGAAGGGAGUUAAGAAGCUAAUGGGUUGUAGCUGUGCUGUGUCUCUCAUGACAUCUCAUUCCCCCCUAAGGCUUGGAGAAUGGUGCAUUCAGUGUGAACAAUUGUUUUGGAGGCAAUAGUAAAGCUGUGUGCAAAAGCAGUGUCAGUUUUGUCACCUGAAAAGGCCUCCACUCCCUACAAAACUAGCAAGCGUUCCUCUCUAAUACGACCUCCUCCCGUAAAUUGUGUCCUCCCUUAAAGAGGGCACAUGUUGUGGCGAGACCUGGAAACCGAACCCCUGUGUUGUGGGUGGGUAAGAUUGGUCAGCCACAACACCCGAUUGGUAGGUCCCUCGAUGCUGGGUUCAGUCUGGUUAAUGGGGUGCAGUCCAAACGGGUUGAGGGACCUAUAUAUACCCAUGCAUGUGACCCAGAGCUUCCUCUUUCGGCACGUGCAUUCGGAACAGCAACAGCAUGUCCACUGUGCAGCCGAGAGAGAGCGAUUUACCUUUGACGGAUCGUCCUGGUGAUAUCUUUCCGUUUUCCCUUCUUUCCCAAAUCCAAUUUAUUUCCUUUCCCCUCCUUUGUUAAUUUUGCUCCUUCCCCUUCCUUUCCCUUUCCUCCCCUUUAGAGGGGCUUUUGCCCCGCGGGGCCUUCAGCCCCUGAGUGCUUUUGCUUUGAGUCAAGCGUGAAUUUAUUUAGGGGGGAGGUUUCUGGGUCUGAACACGCAACAGCCUAACCAGCUCAGCCUUCAGUGGCUGAGAUACCAGGCCCAUUGAAUCACAGGCAGCGCUGCCUGUGAUUAGGGGCUGUCACAAUAAAUUUAGCCCUCAUCUGUUAGAGCAAAAACCAGGUUAAAGGUCAUUUAAUGCUUUUAUUUGCUCUAAUUGAAAAUUAUAGUCAAUAAGAAUAAUUUAGAAACCCUGUCUGACUCAGUGACUCGAUUUAAAAUGGUGGUUGCUUCCGCCAACCAAGGAACGGUAAUUGCAAUAAGCUUUAUGCCAUGUGAUCAUAAUAGGGAUCAAGACAUUAAUGAAGUGCACCAUUCUCCAUUUGCAGUUGCCAGUAAAACCGGGUGGGUGGGUGCGUUGAAAAGUCAGUUGCUGCAAGCACAACUGAUUACGGCUUUGACUAGCUCCUUCCUUUCAUUGUUUUAUCGCAGGAGAUGAGAGUCCCUGGCUAGUUUACUUUAGCAAAGCAUCGCUAAUAAUUGCAUCAGACAUCUCUGUUAAAAUAAUAGCCAAAGCAACUUGCAAUGAAGUAAACCCCCCAAAUAAAUUAUAUAGGGUUGCAGACCGAAUGAAGUUAAUGGACACAAUAGAGGAGUUAUCCACACUUCCUCUCGUCCCGUUACAUUCCCCUCUUUAUUACUCUAUAGGCGCAAACGGCAAUUUGUAUUUUCUUGAACUUGACAUUUGCUUCGAUUUAGCUCUAAAUAGUGGGUUUUCCCUGCGAAACUAACACGGCAAGUGGAAAGCUCACAGCUCCGUUUUUUUCUAGGCAGGGGACAAGUGGAAGCAUGGGUGAGCCCUAACUUAGGUUCAUUCAUUUCAGUGGGGCUUCUUUGAGUAGCACUUGCAUUGGAUACAACCCAAAGUUAAACACACACCCAUGAUUCAAAUUACAUAUUCAUUCAAACAACCUCAUAAACAACAAUAAUUAAAACCAGCAAUAAACUCUGUAAAACAGUAGACCAUUCUGUAAAAGCCACCUUGACUUGAGCUAGACGUAUCAAAAAUGCAUUUCAGGAAAAUGCGUUCUAAACUUCAUAAGGGGAAAUCAUGUUGGAGAAAGACAGGGCUCCACAGCGCCAUCCGUUAUAAUGCAUGUAAAGCAGUUUUUCUUUACCGAUGUAGCUGAGUCCCUUGUGUGGAGUGGGAUGCUCUUACCUUUUGAUGGGGACAAGAGGGAGCCUGGUGAAUCCCCUGGUGUUCCAAAGCUGAGAUAGCCUUAGCCCAGGCACCCCCAACCUGUGGCCCUCCAGAUGUUUUUGCCUACAACUCCCAUGAUCCCUAGUUAACAGGACCAGUGGUCAGGGAUGAUGGGAAUUGUAGUCCAAAACAUCUGGAGGGCCGAACUAGAAUACAAAAUUGGGAGGUGAGAGGAGGUCAUGGAAAUAAGUAAAGGGAAAAGGCUAUGUAAAGGUUUAAUCUGUUUUUGUUUUAUUUUAACUUAAUGUAUUUUUAUAUUUUUUGUUAAGUCUUCUUUUUUAUUCUAUUUUAUUGUUCAUUUUUACUUGUUCAUUUUUCGCUUUGUUAUGGUUAAAGUCUUCUUUGUAUUUUGUAUGGUUUUUCUUUUUCUUUUUUGUAACUUUAAAUUUGGAAUAAAUAUCAUUAAAAAAACAAACAAACAUCUGGAGGGCCGAAGGUUGGGGAUGCUUGCCUUAGCCUCUUGUACUCACCUGCUUAACAUCAUGUAUGAAUGGGAUAGAUAGUAGGGCUUCCAGUCUUAAACUAUGGGCAGGUUUGUAUGGGGGCAGGUUUGGAACCUAAGCCAUUGAAAGCUUUCAAGGUUAAUACUAGCGCUUCAAAUUGAACCUGAAAACAAGCAGGCAAGCAGAUGAAUGCAGGUGUUGUAUGCUGGAACUCUUUGCUUUAAUUAAAGCUAUGCAGUUUCACUUGAGAACAUAAGAAGAACCCUGCUGGAUAUAUGUAGUCCAGCAUCCUGUUUUCCAAUGUAGUCAACUAGGGACACAGGUGGCGCUGUGGUCUAAACCACUGAACCUCUUGGGCUUGCCGAUCAGAAGGUCAGCGGUUCGAAUCCCCAUGACGGGGUGAGCUCCCGUUGCUCUGUCCCAGUUCCUGCCAACCUAGCAGUUCGAAAGCACAUCAAAGUGCAAGUAGACAAAUAGGUACCGCUGCGGCGGGAAGGUAAACGGUGCUUCUAUGCGCUCUAGUUUCCGUCAUGGUGUCCCGUUGCGCCAGAAGUGGUUUAGACGUAUUGGCCACAUGACCCGGAAAGCUGCCUGUGGACAAACGCCGGCUCCCUCGGCCUGAAAGCAAGAUGAGCGCUGCAACCCCAUAGUCACCUUUGACUGGACUUAACUGUCCAGGGGUCCUUUACCUUUACCUUUACCAACCAGAUGCACCCAGGAAACUCCCACAAGUGGGAAAUGACACUGCUGUUCCCUACCAAUGGGCCUUCAGAGGCAUAUUGUCUCUGAUUCUGGAGAUAGCAUUAAAACAGGCCAUCAGCAACCUUGUAAAACAGGCCAUCACACAUGUUUGGGACUACAACUCCCAGCAGCCCCAGCGAGUUGUAGUCCCAAACAACUUUAUGUUCUUGGGGAGUUGCUCCAACCUCAUUUUGGUUGUCCUUUUCCUGAACAUUUUCCAGUUCUACAAUCCCCUUUCUGAGGUGAGACAACCAGAACAGUUUUCCUAAAUUCACAAUACUUAACUCAUGUCAUAAUCUUUAGGAAUGGUUAUAUUCCAUUUUUAGCUGAUCAUUCUGGUCCAGGAAAUGCUUAAAAAGAACAAAUGCCCUCACAUAAUUUUUAAUUUUUUAAAAUGAGUCCUUGUCGGGCUUAGUUGCAGAUGCAGCAAUAUAUCAUAUAUCCUACACCCCAUGCUGGGUACUCCCAGUUAUCGGAUCGAGAGCUAAUGUAGAAAAUUGCCCAGUCCCCCCCCCGCCUUGCUGUCUGUCCUUGUGGAGGUUUAGAUUCUGUCUGAGGAUUAAAUAGAAUCGAAACUCUUGCAGUCUUAAUGACAGGUAUUUCUAAGUGCCGGAGCAUAUGCACAUAUGAUUCUCUGUUGGAAACAUAUUAAUUAGCAGAUGUAGCCAUUUUUUAAUUAGAAGUUAUAUUGUUAGAAAUAUUGCAGAUUAUUCUUUCCCUGCCAAAACACCACUAUGCAUCAGUUUCAAGGCCCAAGGCAAAAAUACAGAACAGUAAUUCAAGAAAGAUUUAAUAACAAAGUGAGGAAGGGCAAGAAAUAUUAUUGCAUCGGAUUUUAUAUUUGGGAAGGAAGGAGGGGGAGAGCUAUGACUUUGGUGAGAAAUUUAUAGCACAAUCCUGUACAUGUCUACUCUUAAGUAAGGAAGGGGGAUUUUUAAUUCAGUUCUUAAUUAAAAGCAAACCCACCUUAUUUGCACUUUCCGAAUCAAUAGAACUGAAACAGCCUUUGAAAUUCCCACGUCUCCAAAUUUUGCAAGUAGCUCUCUAGCCAAUAAUGUGUACAGAAGUGUCAAUAAAAUGCAUAUAUUAGUGAAAAGAACCAUACAAAAUGCACUGUAUUGGAGAAGUGGCAUUGCAUUAAUGUGUAUAUUAGGCAAAAUUGCAUAUUAACCCAUGUGAAUUAGGAAUUGGAAACAAAAUGCUUAACAUUUUUCAUGGGGAUUUAAAAAAAACCUGAUAUGGAAAUGUAUAUAUUUUAUUUCAGUCAAUGACCGGUAGAGAAGAUAAGAAGAAAACACAGCACAUAAAACACAGUAAAAUACGUUAAGUAUACCAUUAAAUGUAGAGCUAAAAACAAUGUAAAAGAUUGCUCUAAGAUUAGAUGGGUUAGAUUAGAUUAGAAGAUUAGAUAGAUCAGCAUCAGAGUCAUGGCUAGGGACCAUGGUAUCUGAAGGAUUGCCUCUUGUUGCAUGUCCUUGUGGGUGCCCUGAGAUCAUCAGUGGAAGCCUUACCGGAGUGCUCCGUAAGGUUUGAUAUUGCAUACCUUGUACCUGCAAAAAAAACAACAACAGGGCCUUAUCAGCAGUGGCCCCUUGUUUAUGGCAUAUCCUGCCCAGAGAGGCUUGUCUGUUGUCUGUUUCAAUGUCUUUUUGGUGCUAGACUUUUUUUAUCUUCAGCGACUUUUAAAAUCUGAUACUUUUAAUCCUGUAUUGUGCUGUGAUUUAAUACGGCUCUCUUACUUUCCCUAGAGUUUAAUAUUUUGUGUUAUUUGCUGCUUGGUAUGACUUUCUUUUUUCCUUUUUAAUUGAUACAGCAAGAAAAGAAAAAAGAGAAAACACAAAUACCAAAUUUCUUUCAAGUUUUCCCUCUCUGUUUUAGAGUAAUUGUCUUAGCGCUGCUGCACAGAGCAUACAGUUCCAAUAUCUUUAGUGGGCCUGAGUAGCAUUCCUAACCUAGCACUAAUAUCUGCUCACACUAGAUCAUCAGGUACCAUUCAGUACAUUUUCAGUUCAUUUGAGUGGGAUUAAUAGCAAUGUAAUGGCACCCUGCCAGCCUCCCCUAGCUUAAAUUUGGUCUCUGUUGGACUCAAUUCUUCCCCUUUAAUAGCAGAGCAGCCUCAGGACUGGUCUAAAAUAUGUUGGCUUCUGUCUUCAUCAUUUAAAAGUCCUUGAAUCUGCGUUUGAUAAAUUCCGUUAGCAGUGAUGACAGCUGCAUUACCGGAUUAGGAUUGGUUGCUUUAUUUAUUUAUUAGCAGUCUUUUUUAUAAUGCCCAACAACUGACAUUGACUGAUGUUACAUUAAGUAUAAAAUGGGAAAGCCGUAAAGAUUAGAACGAGCAAAAAUUUGGACUACACUAGAACAAACACAAUGUAAGUUAAAACAAAACAGAAAAAUAUUCUGUGUGAAAUAACUCUCUUUCCUGUGUUUGAAUGUUUUGGUGUUGAUGUCUACGACUUUGCUACAAUUUCAACAUCUCGCUAUGAGACUGCCCAAAUUGUAUGUUUUAUAUCUUAUACUCCCCCCUUGUGCAGGGUAUGUUGCAGCCCUUGUAAGAUUAGGCUGUGGGUCAGAAGCAGCCCAGGGGGUCCAGAUCACACACUUCUCAACCACAUAUAAGAAAAAAAGGCAUGUUUCUUGGAGACAACACAUACUGACUGGAGAAUGUGCAUAUUGCCUAGAGAAUGCACAAAAUGUACACCCCCAAGGCGUUUUGGAGAUUAUGUAGAAUUUACAAAACACAGCCAAGAUGUGCACAUUCCCCAAGACCUAAGGGGGAUUAUGCAUAAUGACCAGUACAAAAUUCCACCUAAAUGUGAACAUUCUCCAAGGCCUGCUGAAGAUAAUGCAUGUCGCCUGUGCAAUGUGCACAGUUCUCUCUUCGUUGAUGAAUUGUGUGCACAUUCUCUGUGAGGUCUGGCUCAUUGUUAUGCUUAUUAACUACUCAGCUUAGCUCAUUCCCCUUAACAUAUACACACCUAUCAAGUCAGGUGCUAAGAUAUAUGUGUUCCCUGAGUAUUUAGAACACCCUCCUAAACUUCUAAAAGGGGCUCCUAAUUUGUUGGGAGUACAGGGCAGCAUUUCUGCAGUUCAUUUAGUUCAGCAGGAGAAGGAAGAGGUGGUGAGUGUGUGCUGCCUUUCCACAGUUCAAAUCAUGCUCAAUGUGGCUUAGAACGUGAAAAAAAAAUGCAUAACAAAAGUAGUCAUAAACAAUAACUAAAACAAUUUUAAAAUGCACAACCAAACUGAACAAUUUCCACAUAAAUUGCAAGAAGAUCUAAAAUAAAGUUGCAAAAUAGCAACAGCAACCCUCUUCCCCAGCCUUUUUGUAGCUGGAGUCAAUCCUCCCAGGCGAGGUGGGAAAAAACCUGAAAAGCAGGCAGCAGAUCUUCCAGGAUUCACAGCCCAUGGGUGGAACAGACUUAUGAAUAAGUGCAUGUGAAGCUAUAUCAUGGACUGGAAAUAUACCGAUCGUCCCAAUCCUAACGGGGAGUAAGGAGCUGGGAUAAAGGCUUCAUGGAAAACAUGGGCUUUGAGGAAGGAUUUGCAGGAAACGAGAGGUACAUUUCCUGGGUGACACUUCUAGGCGUAAUGAGCAGCAAGGAAGAAAGAGAUGACUUUCAUAAACUUCAUAGGCUUAGUUUGCAACAGGGCCAGCCCUACCAUUGGGCUUGCUGGGUUGUAAGGUUGAGGGAACAGCGAUAGCCCCUCCAGCCUUUCGCCUGAGCCACCAGGCCAUUUACCUCUGCCUGAUCUGUCCCUGUCCCUCUUAGCUGAAGUUACCAUCAGCUGCAAGUUGAGUUGGCUUCUACACAUGUAAUAGGCUUGUCUGGAAGCAAACUGUCUUGGGCCAAAUGGUCUUAGUUCUUGAUUCGGUUUCAAAUUGUUCCGGGCUGCUUUUAUGCGCCACACAGCACCAGCAUCAGACGUCUGCGUUCAGCUCUAUUUAUUUGUCUUUGUCUAUUGAUUGCCUGUCAUUGUUUCCUGUAUUCCAUUUGUUUUUCCUUGAGUUUAAAAGACCAGAACAUUGAGUGGUUGAUAAAUAGAUUUGAAAAGUUGCCUUCGUUCCAUGGCGGCUCCUCUCAGGAAUCUCCCGUUAUCCUCUGGUGAAAUGUUACCAGGUACUUUGUUACAUUAAUGGUCCUCAGUGAUACGUUACAGGUAUUGUUUUGUCUCGAACACAAGCAAUGCUCUUAGAGGGAAUUGUUCGCCCUUGUCUCAGAAGCACAUCCAUUGCCACAGAAGUGGAUACUUGACUAGAGAGCAGUUCUCAUGAUCAAUAGAUCAUGUCAGCUUCCCUUCUCAGGAGCAAACCUUCCUGAUUUUUAAUUGUACACGCACACACACACGUAGUAGCGAGUUCCAUCAAAUGUUUUGUAAUGUGAGAAGGGGUGUAUAUAUCGAGCUUCUCAUAGAAAUUCAGAAGGUGUGUGUGUGUGUGUGUGUGUUCAUAUCACUUAUUCAUCCCUGGCUAAUCCCUUCCUGAUUUUUAUCUCCUGGAAAGCGAUUUAUGUAUCCAGCAGAGAAAAUCAUGCACAAGCUACCUAAAUCUGAUGUGCAAUUGACCAUGUGCAUCUAGGACUUUGCCAGGAGUAAGAACCUUUCGUGAAGGGGGGGGGGAAUGUAUCGCUGAAUCACUGCUUUUGCUGUAAAGCCAGUUGAGUUUGAAUGAAUAGCAGGCUAACUGGUGCAAUUUCUCCCCUGAAGAUUAUCUAAUCUUUCCCGAAGAUUAUCUUCAAACAGGUGUUUUACUACUUUCGGUCAAAGCCUUUCGUCAGUGUUUGAUUGGCAGAAUGGCUGUUGAGAUUCAGUGGCAAUAAGGUUAUACAUGCUCGAGGGGGGAUGUUCACAUAGAGAGGUGGCAUCAUUUAAACUGACUAUGGUUGCUGGUGGUGUAAUAGUUCACAACUCAGUCAAGUGCAAAAAUGGCCAUUCAACGUUAGGGGCGAUUAGUUAUAUGCUUGUAAGUUCUCUCGGAAGGGUGGCAUCAUUGAGCCAGUGCCAAGGCCCUCAAUAUAGCAAGAAUCCCAGUGCCAGAUUCCCAAAAUUCCUGGCUUUGCACUGUAAGAAGUGCUGGGCUGAUGCCCACUGGUGCCACAUAGUUAUAUAUGUAAAGGUAAAGGGACCCCUGACCAUUAGGUCCAGUCGUGAACAACUCUGGGGUUGCGACGCUCAUCUCGCUUUACUGGCCGAGGGAGCUGACGUUUGUCCGCAGACAGUUUUUCUGGGUCAUGUGGCCAACAUGACUAAGCUGCUUCUAGCAAAACCAGAGCAGCGCACGGAAACACCGUUUACCUUCCCGCUGGAGCGGUACCUAUUUAUCUACUUGCACUUUGACGUGCUUUCGAACUGCUAGGUUGGCAGCAGCAGGGACCGAGCAACGGGAGCUCACCCCCUCACGGAGAUUUGAACCGCCAACCUUCUGAUCGGCAAGCCCAAGAGGCUCAGUGGUUUACACUACAGCGCCACCUGCACCCCUUAGUUAUAUAUGUAGUGUGGUUAUAAAAUCUGCCUGUUUUCUGGGAACUUCAUUAAAGGUACUGUUCUGUCAUUGGAGAUGAGCUGAGCGGUUCUGGGAGAAAGUGCCUUCUCAGUUGUCCUGCCCCAAUUGCUGAACACGCUUUGGAAAAAAAUAGCUGAACCAUGUACCAGUAAUGUGCCUGUUUUACAGUUUUUCUCCAUGCCUUUUCUGUUUACUGGCUGGUCAGUUUCUUGCUUGGUUUUACCACUGCUGGCUUUAUUACUGCAGUGUAGCACGGUGUUUUGGAUUAUUGUUAAGGUUUGAGCUUUUUAUGGCAUUGUAUGCAUUAAAUACCUUUCUAUUUAAAUGCAACCAACUUGGCAAUUAAUUGGGGAAAUGGACUAUAGUUAUCUAAGCUGCACUGAAAGUAUAAACUGGGCCCAAAAACCCAUGUAAUCAGUGAGAUACAAAUGUGCAUCCCUUAUUUUUGUGAUUUGACAAAGCCCAGAUUUAGUGUGCUGUUAACUUAAGUUGUACUUAUAGAGUUAGACGUUCUGAAAUUAAUGGCCCUAACAUAUUCAUGCUCAUUUAUUUCAGUGAGACUUCUCUAAGCAAGGCCUGGCAAUUUAUAGCCUCCUUACAUUGACUAGCUUUUAGUAGCCAGAAAGGUGCUGAUAAUUAUAUAAUUUAAAUUAAUGAUGUAUCAUUUAUGACUUCAGGUUCGACAGUGGAAUUUGCUGCCAAGGAGUGUGGUGGAGUCUCCUUCUUUGGAGGUCUUUAAGCAGAGGCUUGACAACCAUAUGUCAGGAGUGCUCUGAUGGUGUUUCCUGCUUGGCAGGGGGUUGGACUCGAUGGCCCUUGUGGUCUCUUCCAACUCUAUGAUUCUAUGAUUCUAUUCUAGGUUAUAAUUCUCAACCAAAAGCAGAUCAAACAAAAGUUAAAGUAUGACUUUGCAUUAAUAUUAUUUUUGAAAUGUUGAAAAGCAACGGGAGUCCACAAUCCAAGCCCUAGUCAUGUGCAAGUCAUUUCUCUCUCUCUCUGUCACUCACUCACACAUUCUCAGAGAAAUUGAACUGAAUGAUUCUGGCAACAUUUCGUUGCCCUGGAUGCAAUAUGGAUCAGCUGCAGGCAUGCAAACCUGUUUUUGCAUGCAGAUCUCACUUGCCGGAUCAGGUGAGUGCAUAAUUCAGUUUGAUGGAUGAGUUCCCCGCUUGUUGUUGUUUUGCCAACGUUCUGAAUACGAAUAUCUAAACCGUUGCUCUUUGGAGGGAGUGUCUGGGAAAAACGCAUGUGUUUGUGUUUGAAGGAAUGCAAAAGAGAAAGUGGAAGGGUGUUGAACCUCAUUAUGAGAUGUCAAAUGUAGGGGCGGGAGCAGGAAUUCGGAUUCAUUUGCAUUUUUAUGCGAACCUACUUCAUUCACUCUUCCCCAAACAAUAUACAGUGGUACCUCGGGUUAAGUACUUAAUUUGUUCCGGAGGUCUGUUCUUAACCUGAAACUGUUCUUAACCUGAAGCACCACUUUAGCUAAUGGGGCCUCCUGCUGCCGCCGCGCCGCCGGAGCCCGAUUUCUGUUCUCAUCCUGAAGCAAAGUUCUUAACCUGAAGCACUAUUUCUGGGUUAGCAGAGUCUGUAACCUGAAGCAUAUGUAACCUGGAGCGUAUGUAACCCGAGGUACCACUAUACAAGCCAAAUCAUGACUAGACUUCAAAAUGUGCACUUCUCCAAAUUUUGCAGUGCAGUUGUCCAGCCAAAGAUAUACAGUGGUACCUCGGGUUACAUACACUUCAAAUUGCAUACAGUUUAGGUUACAAACUCCGCUAACCCAGAAAUAUUACCUCGGGUUAACUUCCGGGUUGGCGCCUCUGGCAAUGGCGGAUUUCCUCCGGGAGGAAUCCGCUCCGUGGAAAACAGGGUCUGAACUGCCACGGCGAGGCGGAGACCCAUCAAAAACCACAGGCGGGAGAAGCCUGUGGACGUGGGAUUCGGCUGGCACCUUUGUGCCCCCCCUACUCGUGGGUAAACCCUGUUUUGGGGAUCCGGAGCGACGUGGGGUGAGUGGCGCGGUGCUUUGAAUCAACUGCUUCUUUCACGGAGUGAAGCCGCAUUGCUGUUGCCGGAGAGCGCUGACUUUUUCCUGUGGAUAAUUGGAUUUUAAACAACUGCCCAUGAGUAGAACGGAAAAUUGGACUAUGAAAUUUCUUAAUUAGGCACCGAAAGCGGGAAGGUCUAAACAGGAAGUCCGCCUUCCGGUUUUGUAGAUAGAUUGAAGCAAAGACAUGGUAAGCUAGAGUUUAGAAAGUCGUUUGUAAAGGACUAAAUUUUCAUCAUUUAAAAUUACUGAACCCCCCUUGGAAGCAGGAGAAGAGGGGGGAACCUUUUUAGACUGUUUAAACCUGCAGAAGAGAGAGUAAAGAAAGGUAAUUUUCCACCGUCUUGAACCUGGGAACGGGGUGUCAAGACAGACGUUUUGGAGAAGUUCAUUGACUAUGGACAAACGUUUUUGACAGAUAGUUAAAAGAAGAGAAACAUAUUGAUUCCAUUGUUCCCUUUCGCAUUUAAAAGGAACAAAAUAUUGACAAAGUAUCUGAAAAAGGAAAACUUUGUUGCUAGAUCUGCUUUUUUUUUUUAAAAAAAAAGAUGGAUACAAAUAGAAAUUGUUUCCCCUAGAGGGAGCUUGUGAAACUGUUAUUAAAGUCGAACUGGGGAGCUUUGCAGCUGUAAAGAUUAAAGAUCGUGGGACCAGACUUCGACCUUGAACAAGAAUGUGCUCAGAGGCUCUGGUGCUUGCCUUUUGCAAGACAAGUGCUUUAUUGGAACAGUUACAUGAGAAGAUGGAUUUGAUGACUGUUGCGAUUGGAAAUUUUGGACAGGCAGUGGGUACCUAUAUAGAACCCACUCAGGAAUUAAUCCAGGAAUGUGCUUUGACAGAUGAGAUGAGGGAGGAGGUUGUUGCUGGACCUCGGGUGGCAGAGAUGGAGGGAGCUGUGGCCCAGCAGGAACAUGAGUUGUUGGAUUUGACGAAUGAACCUGGAAAAAGUCAGAUUUGGAGAGAUGGAGUUCUGUUUGGCUUGGAGAUGGGGGGCUGGAUGGACCCCCCUAUGCAGGGAUGUUUUGACCUUUCAAGUCUGGCUUUAGGCCGGGGGGAGCUCGGAGUUGUGGGGGCCCCUAACUUUGGAGGGACCUUGAAACAUGCCUUUAAAUACCACAUGGAUUUCAGUGUUGACUAUGGAAAAGGGGAUGACUUGUCGAGAAGGGACAAAAAUAUUGUCAAGCUGGAGUCUCCCCGAGUGAAAGGAGCAGAAGACAAAGUAAAGUACAGGUAUAAACAUGAAGAAGACCUGCGGAAGGGACAUGGAAAAGACUUAAGAGCCUCUGAUAUAAGGUCACCAGGUUGAUGGACUAGAUGGAUGGGAUAGAAAGGACUGACAAAACCCGAGACCAGGAAGAAGAGAUGAUGGAUGAAGACUGGAAGAAAGUUUUAAAAAUUUAUUUAGAAAAGUAUCGUAAAAUUAAUGAGUAUUAGAAAAAUGUUGGAAUGAAAUUAUUUGGCUUUAGCAGAAAUGUUAAAAAGAAUUAUGUAAGAAUAUGUUAUGGUUAAAAGAAUUUGGUAUAAAUAAGAUUUAAGUUUUAAGUUUUAGGGUUUUUUAUGGUAAGAUAAGGUUAAAAUAGAUUAAGGUAAUUUAAUGACAGAAUAUUGUGAAAGAUGGAAAGGAUUUGCUGAGAUAAUUAACAACUAGAAUACAAAAAGGGAGGUGUGAGGAGGUCGAUGAAAUAAGUUAAUGAAAGUUAAGGAUUUGGGAAUAUUGGAUUUGUUUUUAAAUUUUUUGUUUAUUUUUGCUUUUUGAUUGUGAUGCAUUGUGUGUUUUGUUUUUUUGUUUUUUCUUUUUAUUGAUUUGUAUUGUUUAAUUGUUACUUUUAUCUACUUUUUUCUUUCUUUUUCUCUUUCUCUUGUUUUUUCCUUCUUUUUUCUUUGUAACUUUAAAAUUCUCAAUAAAUAUCAUUAAAAAAAACCAAAAUGUGCACUUCUCCAAAUUUUGCAGUGCAGUUGUCCAGCCAAAGAUAUACAGUGGUACCUCGGGUUACAUACACUUCAAAUUACAUACACUUUAGGUUACAAACUCCGCUAACCCAGAAAUAUUACCUCGGGUUAAGAACUUUACCUCAGGAUGAGGACAGAAAUUGAGCAGUGGCAGCAGGAGGCUGCAUUAGCUAAAGUGGUGCUUCAGGUUAAGAACAGUUUCAGCUUAAGAGUGGACCUCCAGAACGAAUUAAGUACUUAACCCGAGGUACCACUAUAUACCUAACUUUGGGGGAAAUGUGCAUUUUGAAAUGAAUGGAUGCAUUGAUGAAAAUGCCAUUAAUAAUUAAAAUACAACAACGGGCAUUACAUUAGGGGAGCUUGCUGGCGGAAAUGUGUAUAUUAGGCUAAAAUGACAUCCUGUGUAUAUGAGAAGAGAUGUGCAGGAAAAUGCUGAUGAUUUUUACAAGGAUUUGGUGCAGGGUGGGGGAUCGCAAGCUGAUUUGGAAAUAUGGACUGAAUUAAAGAUUGGGAAACAGAGAAAUGAAGGGAAUCCAAAAGUGACAGACUUGGCCAUUCCAAGUUAAAUGAGGAAAAGAAAGACCGUUGCAUAGCAAAAGGUUUGCAAUGGAGAACCUCACUUCCUGCCCCUUGCAUGGUCCCGCCUCUUUAUUUCAGCCAGUCAGAAUGUAGAUAUUUGCAUAGUGAGGGCUAUGCAGUUAUUUCUCAUUAAGCCAACUAGGUUUCUUGCUCCCGCCAGAAACCCGGUUGAAAGCCCUGUGGGUGGGAGCUGUGGAGCUUUAUGAAUAAACAACUCAUCCGCCUUUCCAGCAUCUCGUUGAGCACCGGGGGAUUAUUAUGACUAAGGUAGAGCUCUUAAAAUGCAACUACCCAGGCUUUAAAAACCCUUAUGAGUGUGCAAGGGAGAAUAAUCCUUAUUGAGCUGUGGGGAGGGGGUUUGAAAAGGCACGGGAGACAGAGGAUCAAAGAGGUUAGCAGGAAGAGAGCACGUUUCAGCAAUAAUGAGGUUGCUCUCUGUCAGCUCAAUAUAUUAAAUGUACCCUACUUUGACAACCCUCUUGGCCUCUGCUGGUUGGCUUAUUUAGCCCUAGGUGUCUGCAAGCCUUGCCGCUGUAUCCAGCCGGAAUGAGGGCCUAAAUUCUAAUUGGAAGCACGGAGAGCAGGAAGAAGCUUGCGGCCUCAUAUAAGGCACAAGUGCUCUUAAGUUAUUAUCCUAACCAAUGCAUUGAUCCAUUCCACUGCCUAUGCUGUUGGGAUUAUUAUAGUGUGUUUCCUUGCUCAGUGCCAGGAAAAGGAGCCAAAGUUCUCUGAUUAAAAGCAUACAUCUAUGCUGACCUGAAAUAACUUGCGCUUUUCAGAACUGGGGGAAUCCAAGACAAAUGUCCGUUUCCCUUAAUAAUUCCUUACAUUGUGGUUUUCACCAGAGAAAUCUUAUCAAAUCUGAAUGCCUUCUUGUGCUUCUAAUUAAAAUGUACUUUAAAAAAAAAUUAUUAAAGAUUUUCUUGGGUUACAAAAGUACACACACUGUCUCUGUUUUCAAAUCAUGAAAGCUCCUUUCUACAAAUCAGUUCUACUCAGUAUUUUUUUUUCUGGGGGUAUUGAAGGGUGCACAGUACUGGAACCUUUUAUUUUGUUUUCCUAGAAGAAAAGCACUGGUUCUACUCGGCGUGAGUGAACACAGGCUGCCAUUUUGGGGGUAAAUGUUUGUAUACGUAUUCCUUUGCUGGUUUUUUUAACUUUUAAAAAUCUAUGCGGUUUGCAUAAAAGGGCAUGAGAUAUUUAUGAAAAAUAGCAAUAAAGUAGACUUUAAAAACAGGAGAUGUUAUAUAAUCAUCAAAAUAUAGUUAAUAGUGUUUUUUUAAAAGAAAAACCUAGACAUUGCUGCCGCAUUAACUAUUUUAGGAUUGGACGCAAUGGUUGGACCUCUGCAGAGUUAAGGCAUGGGAUUGUGCAUUAACCCUAGAGCAUCAUUGCACCCACACAGUCCUGCAAGGCCAGGAAAAGCCACCAUAAAGAGGGCAACUGUUGUGGCUGGGGUGGCCUAGCAUGUGUUUUUCUUUUCUUUCCGCUCACGUGCCAGAAAGGUAAAGAUAAGGCCGAUUUCCGCCUGCCCAAUUUUGCUCUUUUUUUAACUUUACAUCGGGGAUGGGGAACCAUUUUCACCCUGGGAGCCCCUUCCGAGCAACUUUCUUGCAAGCCGUAGGCAGGAGCAGAGCAACAAAUACGAAUUAACCUUUGUACAGUGGGGUAGUUUCUACACACAUUCAUGCACCUCUCUGUAUUCUCCAUUCCAGACAAACAAGAAGCAUUAUCAUAGUUCAGCGUUGUAUUACAGCUAGGCGGAAACAUUCAGUGAGGGUGCAGAGCAGCACCAAUGAAAGGAGUACAGUGGUACCUCAGGUUACAUACGCUUCAGGUUACAGACGCUUCAGGUUACAGACUCCGCUAACCCAGAAACAGUGCUUCAGGUUAAGAACUUUGCUUCAGGAUGAGAACAGAAAUCGUGCUCCGGCAGUGCGGCGGCAGCAGGAGGCCCCAUUAGCUAAAGUAGUGCUUCAGGUUAAGAACAGUUUCAGGUUAAGUACGGACCUCCGGAACGAAUUAAGUACUUAACCCGAGGUACCACUGUACAGAGCUACCAGCAGAAGUCCCAGGGUGGUUUAACAGGGAACCUUGGGAAUUGUAGUUCUGUGAGGGGAAUAGGUGCCUCCUAAUAACUCUCAACACCCCUAACACACUACAGCUCCCAUUUGGGAGGGCAGGGGGGAGCCAUGACCGUUCAAAGUGGUAUCAUAGUGCUUUAAAGGUAGUUUAAAGGCAGUUCGAAAGCACGCCAGUGCAAGUAGAUAAAUAGGUACUGCUGCGGCAGGAAGGUAAACAGCGUUUCCAUGCAGUGCUCUGGUUUCCGCCACGGUGUUCCGUUGUGCCAGAAGCGGUUAAGUCAUGCUGGCCACAUGACCCGGAAAGCUGUCUGUGGACAAACGCCGGCUCCCUCGGCCUGAAAGCGAAAUGAACACUGCAACCCCAUAGUCGCCUUUGACUGGACUUAACCAUCCAGGGGUCCUUUACCUUUUUUACCUUUUACCUUUGUUUGCCUCCUGUGAUCUUCUCCCGGAAUGUGCACAUCUCCAAGGUAGUGCCAAUGCAUUGACAUCCUUCCAGGCUACAUAUGGCAAAGGUGAGAGGCACUACAGGUGUGGCAUUCACUCCAAACACAUCUUAACAUCUUCUGCAAUGUAAAGUGGCACUGCAUGGCAAAUGACCAAAGGAGUUGCUGUAGACUAUAGAAGUGAGAGGAGGAGGUCUUAUCUGAUCUCUUCUGCUGCCCGUCAGAGGAGCAAGGUCUGCCAAGUCAGCUGCAGCACCUUUGUACAAGUAUGAGAAUACCUACUUGGUUCCAGGUGGCUAUAGAUGCUCAUUUACAACUCACCACUUCGUUCCAGUGUUCCCCACUGGGUCUCUCUUCUUUAACAGCGACUCCAUUCCCCUUUCCUUGUAUAGCUGCUCCGCCCUCUCUCUUUUAAUUGAUGCGAACCAUUCUUUGGUGACGAUAUAUGGCUGAACAGUGGGAUAAAAAUAUGAGGAGGUAUAAUGGGAUUGUUAUAUGCAUUUUCAUAAACCAAAAGUUUAAAAUAUGAAGAAUAUACAGUCAUACCUCAUGUUACAUUUGCAUCAUGUUAUGCUUUUUCGGGUUGCAUCCCGCGGUGACCCGGAAGUACCAGAAAGGGUUACUUCCGGGUUUCGCCGCUCGUGCAUGCACAGAAGCGCUAAAUUGCACUUCACGCACCUGCACAAAUAUGGUGCUUCACACACACACACACACACACACACACACAAGGAAAUAACUAGAAAAAUAAAGCAAUCCCUGAGGAUAACAAGGCUUCUUCUUCUUUUAAUGCAUGACAUGGGCUUAUUUAUCAUGGCUCCUUUAAAAUAUAUACAUAUAGAUAGAUAUUAAAAAACAAAAUAAAACACACAGCUUAGCAAUGUUUUACGGCACUGCAGGCCUUUUGAAGUUUCCUGAUAACAAAAAGCUAUAACUGCAGCAAAACUCAAGAUCGAGGUUAAAGUUUUGAUUUAUUAAUUAAAUGACUUUGGUUGCCACGCAGAAUAAGAACUCUGAGGUUCAUAUCUCACCAUUUAAAACCUGAACUAGUUGAUAAUAAAGAAAGCUGAAAGUAAACAAAGUGUGAAGGAGAUGCACAAAAGCACAACUGAGUAGUAACAGUAAUAAUUAUUAAUUCUCAAUGACUUCUAGCCUUUCUGUAUAAUUCUUUUUUAAAAAACAACCACCACCUGUUAUUGGUAAUUUGCUCACAAGUGUAAACUACAAUGAUCUGCUUUGAAAUGGAAGCAGGACUUGGCGGCAGAUGAAAAUUAAGGUCAAUAUAAUGUGUCUCUCUGCAUGGCAAAUACAAACAUUGAUGUUCAUUGUGUCAUAGUCUUAAAAGAUGUAGGAACCAUAACUUGUGAAGUACUUUAUAACAUUUAUAUCUGCCUCAGAGGGCAAUUACGUGGAAAGACUUUUGAAGUGAUGAAGUUCUAAGCCAGGUUUUGUCUACCUUUAAAGCCCUUCAUGGCCUAGGACCCUCGUACCUAUGGGACCACCUCACCCGGUAUGCCGCACGGAGAGCCUCAAGGUCCAUAAAUAGCAACACCCUAGUGGUCCCGGGCCCUAAGGAAGUUAGAUUAGCUUCAACCAGAGCCAGGGCCUUUUCAACACUGGCUCCGGCCUGGUGGAACGCUCUGCCUCAUGAGACCAGGGCCCUGCAGGAUCUGAUUUCUUUCCGCAAGGCCUGUAAGACAGAAUUGUUCCACCUGGCCUUUGGCUUAGAAUCAGUUUGAUUCCCUCCCUCUCUUUCUUUUUUCUUUUUCUUUUCUCCUCCUGUGAUGAGACUGCAUUUUAAUAUUUUAAUGUUUCAGUAUUUUAAUGUUGUAUUUUAAUCUUGUUUCUAAGUUGUAUUCAUUCAACUUGUUUUUAUUAUUGCUUGUUAGCCGCCCUGAGCCUGGCCUUGGCUGGGGAGGGCGGGGUAUAAAUAAAAAAAUAUUAUUAUUAUUACAACUCCCAUCAUCUCUAGCUUGCAGGACCAGUGGCCAGCAUGAUGGGAAUUGUAGUCCAAAAACAGUUGGAGACCCAUUUGAGAAGCCAUGUUCUAAGACAUGGAUGGGGAACCUGUGGCCCUCCAGAUAUUGCAGCAUUACAACUCCCAUCGCCUCUAACCAUUGACCAUGCUGACCUAGGGCUGAUGGGAAUUGGAAUCUAGUGCCAUCUGGAGAGUCACAUAUGUUCUAAGCCCUCAUCAAUUGCCUUAAAAAGGUAUGUAUGCGGCUUGUGCAACAUGCUUAACAAUCUGUAGAUAUGGGAGUUAUGUCAGAUACAUCAUGUGUUCUUUCAUAUUCUGCUGGAAGCCACCCAGAGUGACUGGGGCAACCCAGUCAGAUGGGCAGAGUACAAGUAAUAAUUAUUAUUUGUUGUUGUUGUUGUUACCAGUGAGUUUCUUAAUGUGUGGUUGCAGGGUAGAGUCCCUCCCGAUAUACUGUAUUUUUCCGUGUAUAAGACUAGGUUUUCCCCUUAAAAAAAUAAUGUCAAAAAUUAGGGGGCAUCUUAUACAUGAGGCCAUCUCCCCCCAUUUUCUUAAAUCUGAGUCCCCCAAAAUAGGGGGCUUCUUAUACAUGGGGGCAUCUUAUAGAUGGAAAAAUACGGUAUUUAGGCUAGUUUGGGCCAUGCAGAAGCAAGUGUUGAAUAGGAGAAGAAAGCGAUGGAUAAUCACAGGCAAAGAAGUACUUUGUGGUGCAUAUUGUUAAGGCAGAGACUAAAGGCUCCUUUUCAGAAGUGACAGGUUUAACAGAUGGGAUGGUUCUUGAAAUUGUGGGAUAGGAAGAUGUGGUGAUAUUGGGAACAGCACGAAACAGAUGCCCUAGAAAAGGCCAAGAGAAAGGGUCAGAUGCAAUUCCUUUAGGAAAGUCGUUCAGAAGAAUGCAUUAAAUUUAAUGAGUGCAUAAUGGAGUGCUACAACAAUUCUGUACGUGUUGUUACUAAAAGCUGGGAGAUCGGAUAGUGUGAAAAUCCGCAGGAAGGUGCAAGAAGGGACAGAGGCCACUAUGAAUACUGCAUUAGAAGGGAAGGUGGGGGUGAGAAUGGGCGUAUGAUGUGACAUUCUGCCAAGAGAAAAAUGUGCAGGUAGAUUCAAGAAGGUACAGGUUAGCUCUUAAGUAUCAGGAAGUUGACAUUCUCCCCCUGGAUUCAUCCCACUCUGCUCUGGUCAUGUUAGAACAGCAAGAAUACAAGAAGGUCAAGGUUGUGUUGGUAUAUUGGUCAAUCUAGCUCAGUGUCAUCUAUGUUGACAGGUGAAAGUUCUCCAGAGUUUCUGACAGUGAUCUCUCGCAGCCUUACCUGGAGAUGCCAGGAAUUGAAUCUGGCCAUUGCCUCUUGGAUACAAACCUUAUGCUCUACACACCUUCUUUUUCUUUCCUAGCCGUGUGUCUACUCAAUCCAUUCCCCUAGCUGCUCUUUUUCCAGACGGAUGGAAACACAGAGAUCCAUGUAUCUUUCACAUUUGGGGGAGAAAAGGAACCAGGGGUAGGGGAAUUUGAGGCACAAAAUGGCUGUUGGGGAAGAAAGAGAUAAACCAGGGGUAGCCAACACGGUGCUCUCUACAAGGACUACAAGUCCCAUCAGCCCUUAGGAUGGACAAGGUUGAGGGAUGAUGGGAUUUGUAAACCACAAUAUCUGGAAGGGGCCAUGUUGGCUGUCCUUGGUUUAAAUCAGCCCCUUCUCUGCCCUCUACCUUGCCACUUAACCUGAUGCCACCUUUUCAUAAGACUUAACAACAACAACAACAACAACAACAACAACACUACAUUGAAUUGUAGAACAACAACAAAAAGAUGAAAGAAGCUGGAUGGGAGUUGGAGGAACCAUAAUUAUAGCCCCACCUGUAGAAAGUCUCCUGAAUUGUAGAUGCAUAGGCAUUGGAAGGAAAUACACGGCUGGUCAUAAAUGUCAAUUUUCCAUCGACCUUGACCAUCAGUGCAUUUCUUCUUCAGAAGGAAAAUUUAGCUGAAGCUGCAAUCCUGCUUGAUUAAAACAAGAUAGAGAGAGAGGAUGAACAGGGAGGAGUCAAUAAAUGCAAGUAAAGGGCAGUGUCCAGAAAUCGGUAUUUUAGAUCCGAACCAGGUUACUGUUUCUUAAAAUUUGACUUGAUGCAAGGUACAUGUUCUGAUUAAUAAAGUACAUCAGAGGUCUUUUGAGGAGAAAAAAAAUAUUAAAUGAUCCCCGCAGUGCUAUAAAAGCUAAAUCAGAAAGAACUACACUGCAUAGCAGAAUUCUGUAAGAUAAAUCAAUAACUCUACAUGCUCUAGCAGUGCUUUGUAAGCUAAAGCCAGAGUGCCCUUCCCAGUAAUCCACUGAGGAUGGCUUCAAACAUUAUGCAUUUCCUACAGGAAGUGUGAAAUUCCUACGUAGCAUGUUCCAUUUCAGUUAUAGGUUGGGGGAAUUUAUUUUUCAAGGCAGAGAAGGAGGUUUUCAGAACAGGCUAUAGCUUUGUCCUUAGGAAUACUGAUGACAAUAAUAAUGGGUUUUGAAAUUAAAUGGCAGAAAAAAGCAGUGUUUUUUUGUGUUUUCUCGUAAUUAAAAGGAGCUAAGUCGUCAUUGUUCUUCUUAAGCUAAGGGACUUGUGCCUUUCUUGGCAUGUGCCGCCACGCAAGCUGAUUUCCUUGUUUAUAACUACAGCUAUUCAGUGCAUAGAACCAGUGAGCUUGCCAGGCAUGUACGUGCUACAGAGGAACAAUUACAGAGCUCUGAAAUGUGGGGGGCCCCUGGUCUACUCUUAAUGGUAUUCCUGCUUGAUAGGCUUCCUCUUAAUCUAUUGUCAUGGUAUCUGCUGAGCAGGGUUGCAACGUUUAGUUGAUUAGUUGGUUAGAUUAAUUAACUGAAAAACAUUUGAUCCACUAAAAAGGUGCCCCUGGUUAAGUUGGCAGCACAUUAUUUUAAAUAAAUAAUACUUAUUUUAAAUACUUGUACUUAUUAAAAAAUGCAAAUCACAGGCACUGUCUUAGAAGAGGCUCCCCCACUUUUAAUGGAGCUGUAGAUACCAGGUCAGUAGCUUUCUUUGCCUGAGUGUUGUGCUGGAUCCUUUGCCCUGCUGUUGGAUUCCUGACAGGAAGGAGCCUGCAGUAAAUCACACUGCAAGUUGGAGUUAACUCUUCACUAGCAAGAAGACGAUCUGCACAGACUUGGAGGAGUGUCAGGCCUAAUGAGUACAGAAGCUCAUCCCUAGGUCUUGCCCCAAUGGCUCGGUUGCUGAAACUGAAAGUCCCUGCCUCCCUACACCAUCCCCUCCUCUCCAGGGUUUUCCCCUAAGCAACUGGAGACUGCGCCUACAUGAAGCCAACCUCUCCUCCACCCUUUUGAUGCCUCUUCUGGUUCUGGGAGGCAGAGGGGAAGGGGAGCUUGUUGCAGGAGGAAGGCAAGUGACUCUUCACCAGCCUAGGGCUGGACGAUAACUGGUUUUCAAUAUCAUGAUAUAUCACCAGCUAAACAUCAUGAUAUAUCAAUAUAUCAUGAUAUGUGAAUUAAGGAAGGAACAACGCAGAGACGAUCAAGACAAUGGUGAUAUGGUUUAGCUGGUGAUAUGGUGAGGUUUAGUUGCUGAUAACAUUGCAGUGUUUAGCUGGUGAGUUAUCACAAUGUUUAGUUGGUGAGUUAUCACGAUGUUGAAAACCAGAUAUCGCCUAGCCCAGGCAUAGGCAAACUCCGGCCCUCCAGAUGUUUGGGACUACAAUUCCCACCAUCCCUAGCUAACAGGACCAGUGGUCAGGGAUGAUGGGAAUCGUAGUCCCAAACAUCUGGAGGGCCGGAGUUUGCCUAUGCCUGGCCUAGCCCUUACACACAUUGUGAUUUGCGAUACAUUGCCAGCUCAAAUAUUAUGAAACAAUUAACACGAUGUGAACUUCAAACUUCAAAUAUAUUGUGUUAGACAAUAUAUUUAUAUAUCGCCCAGCCCUACACCAGCCUGACUCAUCUAUGCCUCUUGGCCUCCCUCCUCUCCCUGCUUCAGCUUCUGCCUACAAUUCUGGGCUUCUCUCUGCCACAGAUUCUCCCAGCUCACUAAGCCCUGUUACCUUUUCAGCUCCCGACUCUUCUCCCUCUGACCACUCAUUGUUGUCCCACCACCACUCUCUGGGCCCUGAGCCUUCUUUCCUUAGUGGUUACCCAGCUGGUUCCUCCCACCAUUCUUCUGCGUCCAACAAGUCCAUGACAUUUCCUUAGUUUGAGAUCCCUGUUGCCUUAACCUGGGUUCCUUUGUAACCAUAAGAACUGGGCAGAGACUGGAGAAAUCUCAGAAUCCAGAGAUUCCUGUGACCAGUGGGUGCAACUUUAUGUCCCUUCCAGUCCCUCCCUCCAUCUGGUUAGCAAGAGCAAUGCAAAUUGGACCAAUUUGCACCAGUUAUUCAGUAUUGUAUAUAGUUUGAGGUACUGUGUGUGUGUGUGUGUGUGUGUGUGUGUGUAAAAAAAGUCAAGAGUUUCCUAUUCUUACUCUGUUCUUGCUGAAGAGAGGCAAUGAAGUUUUUGCCUUGGCUGCUGUGACCUUGACAACAGGGAUUGAUGGGAAUGGGUGUUGCUUUGUAACAUGCACCUCUUAAAAGGCUAUAUUCUGCAACCUUUGUACUUUAGGAGCAUUUGAAAGAUCUGCAGUUAAGCUUUUAAAAAAAGUGUAAGGGCUAGCCCAGGCAUAGGCAAACUCCGGCCCUCCAGAUGUUUGGGACUACAAUUCCCACCAUCCCUAGCUAACAGGACCAGUGGUCAGGGAUGAUGGGAAUCGUAGUCCCAAACAUCUGGAGGGCCGGAGUUUGCCUAUGCCUGGCCUAGCCCUUACACACAUUGUGAUUUGCGAUACAUUGCCAGCUCAAAUAUUAUGAAACAAUUAACACGAUGUGAACUUCAAACUUCAAAUAUAUUGUGUUAGACAAUAUAUUUAUAUAUCGCCCAGCCCUACACCAGCCUGACUCAUCUAUGCCUCUUGGCCUCCCUCCUCUCCCCUGCUUCAGCUUCUGCCUACAAUUCUGGGCUUCUCUCUGCCACAGAUUCUCCCAGCUCACUAAGCCCUGUUACCUUUUCAGCUCCCGACUCUUCUCCCUCUGACCACUCAUUGUUGUCCCACCACCACUCUCUGGGCCCUGAGCCUUCUUUCCUUAGUGGUUACCCAGCUGGUUCCUCCCACCAUUCUUCUGCGUCCAACAAGUCCAUGACAUUUCCUUAGUUUGAGAUCCCUGUUGCCUUAACCUGGGUUCCUUUGUAACCAUAAGAACUGGGCAGAGACUGGAGAAAUCUCAGAAUCCAGAGAUUCCUGUGACCAGUGGGUGCAACUUUAUGUCCCUUCCAGUCCCUCCCUCCAUCUGGUUAGCAAGAGCAAUGCAAAUUGGACCAAUUUGCACCAGUUAUUCAGUAUUGUAUAUAGUUUGAGGUACUGUGUGUGUGUGUGUGUGUGUGUGUGUGUGUAAAAAAAGUCAAGAGUUUCCUAUUCUUACUCUGUUCUUGCUGAAGAGAGGCAAUGAAGUUUUUGCCUUGGCUGCUGUGACCUUGACAACAGGGAUUGAUGGGAAUGGGUGUUGCUUUGUAACAUGCACCUCUUAAAAGGCUAUAUUCUGCAACCUUUGUACUUUAGGAGCAUUUGAAAGAUCUGCAGUUAAGCUUUUAAAAAACCCUGUCAGAAAAUACUUGACCAAGAUAUGUUCAUUAUUUCAUUUACCAGUGAUUGAGGAUGCUCUCUCCCUUCUGUCAACCAGAGUUGCCGCAUUGCACCAUAAACCUGAGACAAAAUAUUAUUACAGGCCACAUAAUGCACAUUAUCCUUUUUUGUUUUACCUUGUACUUUUCCUGUAUAACUUGAAGCACCAGCAUUUACUGUUGAACCCUGAACGAUUUCACUUCUUAAAGCCAAGCUGUAAUUUGCUCUCAAGUUCCUUUUCCAAAUCUUCGUAAUUACACAUUUUUAAACAAAAUUCCUCUUAACUCAAGAAUUACAAGCACAAAAGGAUCCCAGGAAACAAUCAGAUAAGUAUUCAUUUAUUUAACUCAACAUAUAGAAUUAUGUUGCCAAUAGUUUUUUUAAAAAAAAGUUAAACUAUUAAUUAGCUAAAGAAGGUUUUAAAACUUUUUUUCUCUUUUUUCAGAGAUUCACACUGAAAUCCUCAGGAGUUCAUUGACUAUGGUAAGAAACGACCACCCUUCAAUAAAUGUUUCUGUGCUAGAGUUCUCUUUUGCCCCUCCAUAUACUGUACCUCCCAACUAAUGAGUUGACUGUAAACACAUUAAAAUCAUCUGCUUCAGCUAUUGGACAUGAAUGAGAAAUGGGUUAAACCUGGGAAAUUUUGCUUGCAUUUCCAUAAGCUAUUUCAGUUUUCAAUUGGCACUUCUUCAUCAAGCAUAAUCAUGGAGCUUUUGUGUUUUGGGUGUGUGCUUCUAGGAAAGCAAUCUGAAUAUGAAUUAGUAGGUCAAUGCAUUGCCGUACUGCUAGAAAAAAAAAUAUUUGGAGAAAUAUACACACCCCGCUCUCAUCGUGGGGCGUUGUGUUUGCUGAGCUGUCGGAAAUCCAGAAAGCUCUUUACAGACUCAAAAGUCCUCAUUUGAAGGCUUAGGAUUUCUUUGUUUUGUUCUGCAAUCUACUUAGUAUAGCUGAACAUGUAUUACAGGGAAUCAGGAGAGCAGCACCAGAAUAACACCAGUUUCAUUUACUCCCCCCAUUCAAAUCUGCUUGUAGCCACAACUGAAAAACCCAAAGCUCUCAAGAAUUGAUUGUUUAGGCCGGGGGUCAGCAACCUAAGGCCCAUGGGCCAGAAGUGGCCCGUGGAGGUCGUUUGACUGGCCCACGAGCCUCCCCCGAACCAAGUUUCCAGCUCGUGCGCUGUGCUAAACCGGUGCAGCGCGGCGCGGUGACUUGCUUCUGCAGCACCGAAAAUCGCAUCUAUGCAUGCACAGACACUGAAAAUCGUAUCUGCUCAGAUGCAGACGCCAAAAAUUGCGUCUGUGCAUGCACAGACGGCAAAAAUCGCAUCUACGCAGACGCCAAAAAUCGCGGGCAGGUGCGAUCCAGCCCACGGAGGGAUCUCUGUGGAACCGAUCCGGCCCAGGCAAUAUAAACCUUGCUGACCCCUGGUUUAGGCCAAAUCAGUGUGUGAAAAUCAGACUACUCUCCAGUAUUUAUUAGGAUCACCCCCCCCCCCGGCCGCUUAGGAUUGCCAGCUCUUGAUACAACAACUGCAACAACACCAGCAACUGGCCUCAGGGCUCUUUGUCCCUUAGCUUCCUUUGCCCCCAGGGGCACAAGGCUAGGAUGGAGCCAGCAAGUAUGGGCCCAUUCCAUUCCAGCCAUAUCCUUGGAGAUAUGUGUGCGGAAUCUGCAAAAAGUUUCUUUGCAAGCUGGCUUGAAUUCAUGGCAGGCUGCAAAGGAAGAUCCCUUUGCUGAUCCCAGCAGAAGCUGCAGUCAGCACUGCUUUUCACCACGGAUCUGCUGCACCCAAGAGCUCCAGUCAGGAAAUCCUGUGUUGGAACCAGUCCCAGUGGGGCUUGUGUUUGGUGCCAAAUUUAAAAGAUGCCAAAUGUGAGCCCUGCUUUUUCUAGGGACAACCAGGAAAACAAUUUAAGGCUCUUCCUCCUCCUCCUUUUGCAGAUGUGUCUUCACCUGCCACAUACCUGACAUUACAUAUUAUUUCAUUACACCUGGGUAUGAUUUGGGGAAAAUGGCCUCAUGGACCAAAGAUUGGUCUCACUGCUGCCUUUAAAGCUUUAUAAAACUGUAAUGAGCAAAAAUAACAACCGUAUUAUUUUUUUAAAAAAAUGGCUCUUGAAUUUUAGCAAUCUUUAUCUCCUGCAGAGCUUCCCUUUAAAUGUAAUGGUUUAGUAGAACUCUUUAUUUAAGUCACAUCUACACUAUACUUUUAAAGCAUUCUCGUACUACUUUAACAGUCCUGGAGAAUCCUGGGAACUGUAGUUUGUUAACAGUACUGGCAAUUGUAGGUCCGUGAGGUCAGUUUUAUGGACAUGCAAGCGUCAUACUCCCUGAAGGACACAACAGAGUGAUAAGAUCCCUUCAGAAUCCAACUUUGCAGAGGAGACUUGAUGAGACACUUUCUCCUUUGUUGGAGGAGAUCUGAAUCUCGUCUCAUCAUGCAGGUUCUCGUGAGGCUUAAUUAUUCCUGCGAGGCUUAAUUCCUAUACCAAGUUUUACAUACCUCUAUCCUUGCACUCAGGUGUCUCCAGGCCUGUGCAGUUGCUAGACUAACAACCACAUGCAUCUAGCCUCAUCUUGCUUUUCUUGCUGCCUCUGUGGAGUUCCCCUGAAAACUCCAUCAUUUGCUGCUGCUGCUGUUGCAGUUUGUCCUGACUUCUCCUUCCUCCAUCCUGCCCCUCGCCUCCUUUGCAGUCAGGGACCGAGCUAACAUCUUUAGGCUGCUUUGGCAGCCAAGUUUCAUCCUCUUGUGUCCAGCUGUGUCAGAUCUAGUGGAGUGUGGGAGUCGAGGCUGUCCCUUCGCUACUUCUCCCCCACUGAGAAAUGCUGAUGAAGGGUGUUCCUUUGUUAAUAUUAAUAUGCAGAUGCCACCAAGUUAGCCCCACGUCUGAAAAAAUUAUCAUGCCAUUUUCCUGAUGAGUUAACAGCCCUUUUGGACAAAGCAGAUGAACGUGCUGGAAGAAAUUAGGUCAGUGUUAGGAAACAUGUGGCUCUGUAGAUACAAUAGAGGUCCAUCUUCCAUCAGUCCCAGGAAGAACAGUCAAGGGUGGUCAGGUGGUUGUAGUCUGGCUUCACCUGGAAGUCAAUAGAUUCCCCACCUCUGAAUCAGAAAAUGCCUGGUCUGUAUCUCCGCUGUCUAGACCAGGGGUAGUCAAUCUGGGCCCUACCGCCCACUAGUGGGUGUUUCAGGAUUCCGGGUGGGUGGUAGCGGGUUCUGUGGCAUAUGUUACUGCAGCACUGGUGGGCGAUAAGGAAAUUUUACCAUCAAGAAAGAUGCAUUAGUGGGAGGUAGGUAUAAAAAGUUUGACUACCCCUGGUCUAGACCAUAAAAUGAAUCUUUGUCUUCAAGCUAUUUAUAUUGUUGAAAAUACAGAUUUCAGACCGCAAGCCUAUACCCGCUUACUUGAUCAUAAGGCCUAUUGACCACAAUGGCACUUCUGAGUAGACAUGUCUAAGUCUGCAUUGCUAGUUACUAAAAUUACUGUUUAAAUCAUUCAAACACAUGCUAUUUUUAAAAGCCAGACAAAACCUUUAUCAGCAGGUAUCUUACAUGACUGCAUAAUAGACCUACCUAAAUAUGAAACCUUUAAUAAAGCACCUUUGUAUAUAAAAGUGUACAGGUAUGAGCAAAUGCCAUCAUUGUUUUCUUCCUACUUAACUCCUAUGGAAUGGAUGCUGUAUUAUUUAGGAAGAAAACUCCCCCAUGAAUUCUUCCUUCGGGAGAUUUCCUGCCUUCCUGUCUCUGCUCAGUAGGAUAACUUGGACUUCAAUUCAUGUUUUCCCUCCAGUUCCUGUGCAACACAAUUCUUCUAAUUAUUGUGAUUACUGCAUCUGUUCAACAGCUUUUGUGCCCCUUUCUAAAGAGAUUUAUCACAGAGGCACACCUGCUGCCUUUACAUUGAACUUGAUGUUCUAGUGUUAAUUUCAGCCAGGAAUUUAAUUGUAUUAUUCUGCGAAGAACCAACCAACCUGGUUGUAAAGGACAGGCACAUCCAUGCGUGUGUGUGUGCACACAGGUUUCGACCAACCAAGAAUCGAAACAUGGGUGCAACCAUUAGUAUCUCACCUAUCCAUCUUUUUGUGAACCUUAGGUAUGGGGAACCUUUUGCCUUCCGGAUGUUGCUGAACUGCAACUCCCAACAUCCCUUGCCAUUUGCCAUGCUUGCUGAGGCUGAUGGGAGUUGCAGUUCACAGCCUUUGGCGGGCCAAAGGUUCCACACACCUACUUGGCCUUAUUCAAGACAGAGUCGCUCCCUGCCCAUGCCAUAUAUGAGGUCCACAGACUAGGUUAUUGGUCAUCUGGAAAGUUAGAUGGGUGGCAGGUGACGUCCACAGAACAGUAGCUUAUUUAAAGCAAAUGUGGCCUGCACGUUUAACAUUUAAUGCUGGCUUUUUCCCUGACAAAGGCUCUGUGCGCAACAGUCAGAAAUGCAGCGAGCUUAGCAUGGGAUUUGUGCCGGGGAAAGCUUCACAUGGGAGUUCCUUUGCAAGUUUCCCUUUGAAAGGAAAAGAUAGCAAUCCUCUCACAAUGUCAGUAGAGCAUCAUCUCCAAAGGGGCUUCCAAAGUUAACGACUCAGCUUCCCACAGUGGCGUUUUCUCAUUCAUACAAUACAUUCAGCUGGAUUUUUCUUUAAAGCUAUGAGCCUGAAACACUAAAACAACUUCCACUAAUUAGUUUUGAACUGUGCUUGGGAGUUGCUGUCCUUUUCCUACAACUGUAUAGCAUUUAAGAUAGCUUAGUAGGUCUCUUUCAGCCAUGGCUGUAUUUGAGAACUAGCCCUGAAAUAUCCACCUGGUGGCUAUGUGUAUUCAGAAGCUGUGUGUUCAUUGCUAGAGAUCUGACCACUGUGUUUUAAAUCAGCAGCCUCUGGGGUCCUUUGGUGUGGUAGGUCCUAGGUCUCUCCCCUUCUCUGUUCUUUCCCUUUAGAAAGUUUUGGUUCUCUGUGAGCUCAAGCACUGUGAAACUACUGACACUGAGAGCCCUGGGGAACCAGCUUUCCUAGAGCGAUAGUUCCUAAUUUUGCAGUCUUCUGUUUGAAGGGCUGCCUGAGGAAGGCCCUAUGUUUGAGGGACUGUUUGAGGGACAAUGCCCAGCUUGAAGAUGAAGAACCAUUAGAAGGGGCGGCACAAGGGUAUUGGGAGUUCCCCAUCAACAACACCUGGACAGUAGAUGGAGCAAGCCCUGCCAUUAGCCAAAGUGGGGCAACCACCUCAGGCAGCAAAUAUUGGACAGCAGCAAUGGUAGCUCCCUGGCUCUUCUUUCUAAGCAUUCCCUGGGCAUCUCUGUCUGUUGGAGGACAGCGCUGUACUUGCCAUAUGUCCUACCCACUCCCAAACUAUCCAGUGUUGAACUAAAACUAAACUGCCAGUCCUUGCUUGUGGGAUGAAGAGGGAGCACCAGUUUGUUCUUUGCCUCAGGCAGCAAAAUAUCUUGGGCCAGCCCCGUGGAACAUGGGUCACCCGGUCACAACCUUUCCCACCACUUAUGGUGAGGUGCAUUGUACUGUCAUUUAGGUUUAAAUAAUUUUUUCCAAACUGCAGCUAUGCAGAUUAAUCAGGAUAGGCACAUUAUAUGCAAAUCAGCACCUUCCCCCUUUUAAAAAAUUCCUCCUAUGGGGGCAGUACUUAAGUGACCACACUACUAAGAAGCUCUUUGGAUCCCAGGCCACAGAUCCCCACUGCUUCUACUUCCAUAUUGUGCUUAUUUCAUCUGAAACACCCCCAAGUCCAUUUGUAAUUAAUGACUGGGGCCAAAAUAGUUGCUUUAGGCAUGCCUAAAACUUGUGCAAACCCAGUGGGACUUUUGCCAUUCCCCACCCACCUUGAAUCGCACAGCCCCUGCGACAUUCUACAUGCUGCUUUUGACAUUUCUCCAAGUUUCUGGUCAACUUCAGCCGUCUCUGAAUGGUGGUUGGAGCAAAGGCAUUCAUGAAAUCUGAGUCCAGAGCCCCUUUGGGUGCAUGGAAUGAUCCAAAUCCUACCCAUCAUCACCAUCAUCUAGCAACCCAGAUUUUGCCUUUCUGCAAAUUGAACCAAAAGCGCAACUCCUUUCCACCUUCUUGUGUUCACUAGUUGUUAUUUGAGAGACUGGUGCACAAUUAGACCAGGAUCAGUGUCUGCUAUUAUUAUUAUUUAAUAGGGUCUCCUUGAAAUUUUCUUUAGCUGAACAAGAAACUGCUACUGUUUACAUCCAUCCUUUCAUUUCCCACUCAAAAAAAAAAGAAAGAAAGAAAGAAGAAAAGUGGCGGAGGCACUGAGGUUACUAUUGAAGUUAACACAGCCUUUGCAUAGAUCAGGCAUAGGCAAACUCCAGCCCUCCAGAUGUUUGGGACUACAAUUUCCAUCAUCCCUGACCACUGGUCCUGUUAGCUAGGGAUGAUGGGAAUUGUCCCAAACAUCUGGAGGGCCAGAGUUUGCCUGUGCCUGGCAUAGAUUAUAUUAGGGGAGCAGAGAAAAGGAUGGGGUAAUCGCAGGAGUGGAGCAAGGGGUGAUCAGCUGAUGGUGUUUGAAUCACCUUAAUGAGGUUAGAAUUGAUCAGGGAGGUCAUACCUGCCUUUAAUGAUUCCUCUUAUGCCUUGCACAAGCUUUUCAAAACCUCUUCAGAUCUAGCUUCAGAGAAGACACUUCUCCAAUGGAGACCAAAUCACUGCCAAGUGGAGCAGUCUAGCUCCUCAAUCUGCCUGUUAGAGAUGAUGCUUCUGCUAAAUUUGUGGCAGAGGGCAUUUGCCAUCCUUGCAAUGUUUCCAAUAUUGGACUCCUGUUUGCAAUUCACGGCGCCUCAUUGCAUCCUUUUGACCAACAGCUCUGCUUGGUUCUUUACCAUUCAUUUGUCACUUGGGUGUUUAUUCUUCCCCAAGUGAAAUAAUACUACUUUUAUUAUCUAAAAGCAUUUCUAAGCCACUUAAUAUUUUAAAAUCUCCAAGCAGUGUACAAAAAUAAAACAUGGAACAAUGAUCAAUAUUAUUUUUAAAAAUGCAACAUAAAAAGCCAGUUAAACAGUAUUAUAAAAAUUAAAAUUAGGAAUUUGGUAACAGGGUCCAAUCUUAUGAGCAAAAAUAUAUGUAUUUAGAAGAUGCCUGAAGCAAAUGAUGGAUGAUGUUUCACAUAUGGUAGAAGGAAGGGUAUGGUACAGUACAGAGUCAGUAGCAGAAGAUGCCUGUUUUCGGGUGUGGUACCAUGAAUCAAACUUCCCCAGAUGAUAUAAGAUGAUAUACAGGUCUAUAAAAGGGCAGGUGGUCUUUUAGAUAAUUCGUAGUUGAUCGACAGUUCCCCCAUCACAGGUGUAAUCUGUAAUAUACUCUAUGUCUCUAGGGUGCCAGGUGCAAAAGAGGACAGGGAUCCUGCCCCCUAAUAGUUGUGCAGUUCUACACAACUAUUAAAAGUGUAGCAUCCCUGUCGUCUCUUCCCUCUGACCAUCUUAUGUAUUUUCCUUUCGUAGAAUUUCAUUCCUCACUUACUGUCCCAAAUUACCCAUGUUGGCAGAAUCAUUCUGAAAUUCUAACCCUGCCCUUUGGUCUUCCUCUGGAGUCAGACAAAUGCACUUUGGACAUAAACUUGUGGAAACUUCCCAUUGAAGUAUUUCUCCCCCAAUAUGAAACUGGCUUUUAAAUCAGUUUAUGAGUCUUUCUGAUUGCAAGUUGCCUUUUGCAGUUCUGUUAAAGCUCCCAAAUAAUUCGAUUUGGUACAUAUCAGCUUGCUCAUUGUUUUGUAGCUGCUGUGGAAGAAUGUGUGUUGGUAAGGUAACUGUUUUCUGCUAGCAAACAGUGGCAUUCCUCAAUUUAUCCUUAGAUCCCCUUUCUCCCCUCCCAAAAGAAAACUGUGUUAUUUCCAACAAAGCCAUUGCUUGAGUGGAACAACUUCCACUCGCACUUCCCUUCCCCUCUCCUCCCUCAUAUGCUCCCCAGUCCAGAUCUGUAAUAAUAAUAAUAAUAAUAAUAAUAAUAAUAAUAAUAAUUUAUUAUUUAUACCCCGCCCAUCUGGCUGGGCCUCCCCAGCCACUCUGGGCGGCUUCCAAAAAAAUAUUAAAAUACUGUAAUACAUCAAACAUUAAAAGCUUCCCUAAAUAGGGCUGCCUUCAGAUGUCUUCUAAAACUCUGGUAGUUGUUGUUCUCUUUGACAUCUGGUGGGAGGGCAUUCCACAGGGAGGGCGCCACUACCGAGAAGGCCCUCUGCCUGCUUCCCUGUAACUUGGCCUCUCGCAGUGAGGGAACCGCCAGAAGGCCCUCAGUGCUGGACCUCAGUGUCCGGGUAGAACGAUGGGGGUGGAGACGCUCCUUCAGAUAUACUGGACCAAGAAUCUGAAGGAUCCCUAGUCCUGAGAAACAGAUUUAGGGCUGCAGGGAGCAUGAGGUGGGAGGAGACACUCACACCACGACUUCGUUGGGUACAACCCACUGAAAUUGCAUACUUCUCCAGAUUUCUGGCUUUACAUGCUUUUACCUCACCAAGAUCCUUUCUUGGGUUCACAUUUAGCCAGUUCUUCUGCUGUAAAUUCAUUCUGAUUAGCAGAGAGAUGGAUAUGUUCACUUUACUAACAUUUCCAUUCUCUUUUCUUCUCUUUCAGGAAUAUUGUUGAAGGAUCCCUAACUGGAAAUAUCUCCCAGAAGAAUUUCAAAACCUGUGACCAGGCGUGCAGGGAUAUAUUGCCAACCUGUUUCAAGUGUUAAAAUCAGGAAACCAAAAGUGGACAAUAUCCUCUGAAACUUUUAAUUCUCUUGUAGCGUACAAUUUGUUUCAUCUAACGCUAUGUUAAUUUUUUUACAAUAUUGUCAAAUGAAAAAUCGCAUUACAAAGCCAGUGUUCCUCUUUCAUCUGAGACAACUGCAUCAAGUUAAAUAACCCAAAGUAAUAAUAACAUUUUGAUCUUUGUUCUAAACCGACUGUAUAUAGUAGUGUGUGUGUGUGUGUGUGUGUGUGUGUGUGUAUAAAUUUAUAGAGAUCAAGAAUAAAAUACAGGCCUAUGUUCAGA